GAUGUAGUUUUUAUUUUUUUAUUUUUUUACUUGCAAAAUUAAGAAAAUACAAAGACACAUAUAUGAUCAUCAGGUGGUCUGGGAGCCAGUAACGUGACCUUCAGCUCCUUGUUUUUACAUUAUUACAGCGGAAAUCACAUAUAUACGUAAAUAAAGCUACGUAGUUGGAGGAGAGUGUACGAAGAUCUGUUUAUUAUAUAAGUAAUGCAUGAGCAGGGGAGAAUUAAGUAUGGAUGGUAAAAGGUAGAUGAAAAUAAUUAAUAGUUUAGUUUCGUACAAAUGUGCGCGGGUAGUAGAAGAUGGACGGACGGAUGGGUGGACGGAUAGAGGAUGAGGGCCUAUAUAUGUAUAUAUAUGAGUUUAAGUUUUAAUGGAAAUGCCAAACUGGGGAGCUUGAAUUAGGAGAUCUUUGAGCUCUUCGAAGGAGAUUUUGUUUUCUCCCUUUUUACUGCCGUAGGCAAUGGCACGUUCAGCCAUGAAACUUGGAGUAAGAGCACCCAGAUCGUCGAACAGCUGCUUCAGCUCUUCCUUGUUUAUAGUUUUGUCGUCGUUCGUAGCCAACCCUUCGAACAUCAUCUUCAACUCGUCAAUCUUCACGUUUUGGCUUAUCAGUGCCCGUCUUCUUGCCAAACGAGCCAUUUCUUCUUCGUCUCUUCCUUAAUUCUCUCUCUCUUUUCUUUGCUUAUCUAAUCUUUGCCUGAUUUGCUGUAUACUUGCAUGGCGCAAGUCUUUAUAUAACCAUCCUCAAGUGCAUGCAUCAACGUUACUUUCUAAAUUUCUAAGCGGAAGUCUCUAGAAGAUAAGUUUAAAUUUUAUUACACGCAUACAUUAAUUAUAAAAUAAUUAUUUAAUAAAAAAUAUAUAAAUAAAGUAUUAUUAAGUGUUAAAUAUUAGAGAUAAAGUGAAAUUACGUGUUUUUAUCUCUAUUAAAUAAAGUAUUAUUUAGUAUACGAGGGAAGUAAUUUAAAAAUUUAGAAAAAAAAUAAUAAUAAUAAUAUUUUAAAAUAUUAUUGUAAUUUGUAAUUAAUUAUAUAAUCUGAAUUAGAAAAGAAACGUCGCCGUUUGAUGUUAUUUGUCGAAGUUGGAAAGAAUAAAAAGUAGAGAUUAGUUUUGUGAAGUGAGAAUCUUAGAAAAAGCAGAUGCUUGAGUUACUUGUUGGAACAAGUGGAGAGGAGGUGGCAUCAUUCAUUGCGUCCUCAACAAUAUUACUCCAUCCCGAAAAGAAAUUCCAAGAAAAUUAAUCGCUCAAAUCUUAUUUAAGCAAUUAAUUAAUUAAAAAUAAACCUUCUAGAACAGUUCUCACAUAGUAUAUAACAGUUUUUACUUUUAACUUAACAAUUUCUAUAUAAUAAUUACGUACAAGAGAUGAUAUAGACAUGUAGGAGAAUCCUUUGGGUGGAGAAUAAUUAAAGGUGCACCGAGUUGUUGUUAUCUUGUAAGAUUCUUUCAUCACCACCUUUCGGUUUUUGUAUUUUUUUGUUUGAUUUAAUUUGAUUCUAUUCGAUUAUAAAGAUAUCAUUUUUUUCGGUUUAAUUUUGUAGACACGAAUAAAUAAAUUAAUUGUCACUAUCUAUUUCAAUAUGCGAUUUUUAAGAAUGAGUGAUUCAAAUAAAUUUACUUAAAUAAUAAUAUAAGUAGGAUUUUUUUGUAAAAAAAAGAAAAUACAAUCCUAAAGUAUUAUAAACUCUUUCUAAAAAAAAAACAAGUUUGUAAUUUGAUUAUAAAAUUUAUAAAAAUCGAAUAUAAAAAUUUACUUCACUAAAUUAACGUAGUAAUUUAAGUAUUAAGUGAUUUUCAACCAAUUUAACAAUGUUUUGCACUUUCUGCGAUUUUUACUAAAUUAUGAGUUAAAAUUAUCCUUAUAUUCUAUACAUAUAACUUAACUAAAGCAAUCGAGAUAUAUUCAACCAUAUCGAUUAAUUGAAGCAUCAAAUUUCAAUUUGUAAAACUCCAUUUGACUGAGGAGACCAUACUCAUUGGUGGAUCGAUGCCUUUACUUGAACAAGCAUCCCCUAAAACAAAUCCUCUACCCAAAGGCUUACCCCUCCAUAACACUAAGACAGAUACACAUACGUGAAAGAUAUGAUCGAUGGUCUAUAACGCUUCCCCAUGCAUCAAACAUAUAGGGUUGACUUGGACACCUUUUUCAUUCAACCUAAUUUGCACUACUAAUAUGUCUUUGUAGAGUCUCCAAAUUAUAUGCUUGACUAGAGGCCAAACCCAGUAUAAUGCUACAUAUGUUAGUUGGUUUCUUUUAUAUAUACAUAAGUCAUAUUUGUUGUAACAAAGUAUUUAUGUUGACAUAUAAGUGCUUUUUAAGAAAGACCAUUUGUGCUUGAAUGAAAGAUAUACAAGUUGGUAUUCGUCAUCAAUAUAAUUCAUGUUUUAUCUUUCAAAUUUUAGAUGUGAAUCUACAAAACAAUUGCUUUUCUUUUCAAGAAAAAGGAUUUAAAAAAUCUACGAGUUGGUGUUCAAAUUUUAACUUCAAUUUAAUUUGAAGGUUUUCAUUUCUCUUUUUCUUUAAUUUUCAUUUAUUCCUUUGUUGUUCGUUCCCUUAGUGUGUUCCUUUCUCUCUUUCGUUUGGCUUUCAUUCCAUUUUCUUUCCUCCAUCGCCAGGGCAGCGUCGUAACAGGUCGAGUAUUCCUCUCUUGCAUGUCCCACUUCAGUGUUUUCCCCAUUUUCCUUCAUCAACUCAGCUCACGCGAAUUUCUCCUCUGCACAUGCCAUGCCAAGCCUUAAAAGAAAUCUUCCCCUUCACAUGGCUCAGCCACCACCUUCCAUCUGGUGGAAGAAGACAAAAGCGAGUCUCCCCAAACUCUUGCGUCCGAUUGAAAGGUUUCUCCAAAACGACGUCGUUUUGUAGCAAAUUAAAAGAAUCGAACUGAACGGUGCCGUUCGGGCUUCUUCUGUUAGCAUUGGCUCCUGUUAAGGCUGUUAGUUUUUUUUUUUUUUGUUGAAUUAUAUUGAAACGGCGUCUAUUUAACCCCUUAGGGACUGGAUCCUCUAUAUCUAGGCCCGCUUUGAAUUCGACCUGCUGUUAUUCCUAAUUACGAUAUCAAAUAUAAAAUAUUUAGUUUAAGAUUGAAUAAAGUUUAUCUUUUUUUUAAAAAAAAAAAAUUCAUUAAAUGCACUUAAUAUAAAAAAUAAAAGCUUUUUUUCCUCAUAAAGUUAUAAGAGGAAAAAUAAAUAAAGAAUAUAUUGAUUUAAAGAAAAAUUAUUACAUUUGGUAUAAGAUAUAAAACUUUAGUACACAGAUAAUUAAUUAGGAAAUGAGAAGUAAAAUUCAUUAUUUUGGGAAUAGACAUUAGUUCUGGUAUGAGCUCUCAAACUUAUCACAGUUUAAUAUGAUGUUUUUAUAGUUAUUUUAAAUAUAUAUACCAUUAAUUAUACGAAUUAAAUUGAUAAUAUAUUUUUUUUUUCAGAUAUAAGAUGCUUUUAUUUAUUUAAAAUUUUGGGUGUUUGUACAUUUUUAAAUAUGGGUUUUGUCAGUAAGAAAAAUUGCACUCAUCUUUUUAGAGGAGUUGAACGAACCCUCCCAUGAAUAUGUCUGUGUGGUUGAUUGUGAUAUAGAAGAAGUAGAAACUUUCAAGUAGAAUAAAAACAGGAGAAGAAAUUCAACGUAUACAAAUACACACACACACACAUAUAUAUAUAUAUAUAUAUAUAUGGAGUAGAGAGAAAUUAGAAACUUUCCAUUAGACAGCAGGAAGUAACAAAAACAAGAGAAAACAUUCAUUAUAUAUAUAUAUAUAUAAAAUAAAGGGUGGGAGAUAUAUUAUUGGCUUAUUGAUGAGUUUGGAAGAAGGGUGCGGAUGUAACUUAUAAGUUUGCUAGGCCUUAAUGGUGUAUCCAAGAGAAGAAACGUAUUUGAUUAGUUUUGGAAGCUCAUUUUCAUCGACGAAGCCAUCUCCGUCGCCAUCAGCAAACUUCAUUCCACGCCAAGCUCUGAAUCCAGGAACUAAGGCACCCAAGUUCAAGAAAGCAAUCUUUAACUCUUCUGUACUCAAACGUUGGUCGCCAUUGGAAUCAAAUUUCAUCAAGGCAGCCUUUAUGUUCUCCUCAGUUGGGCAUUUGAGUGGCGCUGGUGCUCCCUUCCCAAUUAUAUGAGGCAUCUUAAACUAAUUCUUCAAACAAAUUUUAUACUAUUGAUUUUGUUUUUGUUGCUAUGAUCUUACAAAGCAAAUCAACAAGGCUAUUUAUAGAUCUUUUGCAAGUUAAUCUUUCUCAUUCAAAAUAUUCUCGCUUAUCUUCAAAUGGUUGAUGGAUAUAUAGCUAGAAUCUUUUUACUUCCUCAUGCACUGGCCGUGCGCCAAUGGGUAUAUAUAUAUAUAUAUGCUCAAAUCUAUUUAUAUCUACUUGGGCUCCACAGCAUGUAAUAUGUGUUCCAUUACUGAUUAAAGUGUGUUAAGGGAACACUUACAUGGGUGUGUGUAUAUACAUAUACAUAUAUAUAUAUGUGAUCACUUGAUAAUCAUCAAUUUAACAAGUAAACUAAGUUACAACUUACUUUUAUCUUUGGAUUGUAUUUAUACCUUAUUAUUGUGCACUUGGAGUGUCGGCCUUAAUUUGAAUGCAUUAAUGCUUAAAUGGAAUUAUUGCAUGGAUUUCAAUGUUUUUAAUGUGUCAUGUCAAAAGAUUCGGUAAUCCAAUUAAAAGAUUAGUUUGAUUAAGACAAUCACGUAACUAAUUAAAAAUUAAUAUCACAAUUAGAAUUAUCAAGAUAUUAUUAUCAUCACUAUUAUUAUUAUUUAUUUUAUUUUAACAAGAUUAAAUUGAGAUAUCAUAAUUAAAUUUUUUUUAUAAAAUAUGUAUCAUCUUCCACGGUAUCAUUUUAAUGAGGCAAGUUGACACUUCAGUUUUAAAGCAUUCAUAAUUAAAAAAUCUCAAGCACGAUUUAAGAUGGAGAAUGAAUUAAAGUAUGAUAUGAAAAAAAUCUUAAUUUAUCUUAUCAUAGUUAAAGUACAAAAAUAUCAUUAGGUAUUGGCCAAUACAUUUGGUAUCAAGUAAUAGUUGAUGUGACAAAAAAUUUUAUAUUAAUAUUAAACUGAUAUGAUUCGUACUCACUCAUAGAAUAUUAUAUUCAAAUAAUCUCCAUUCAAAAUUUUAUUUGUUCUUAAAGAUUACACUUUUUUAAUGUUCAUUGAAAAAAAUUUCAUAGUUUAUAAUUUUAUGACGUUAUUUAUAUUUAUAAUUAUUUUAAAUUUGAGAAAGCAGUUAAUAGAAAUCAUUUAAGCAUUAUUGUCUAUAUGUAAGAAAGUAUAAAUGAAAUCCAUCACAAUUAGAGAUGAACCAAAAAAAAAAAAUUGUGACCCAUCAAACCUGUAUUUUGAAUUAAGAACAAAACAUGUGUGUGUGUGUGUGUAUAUAUAUAUAUAUAUAUAUAUUUGAAUCAACACUGAGUUUAGAGUAGAUUCUGAGUUUAUGUAUUAUAAUUAUGAAUUAGAUUCAAAUUUUACAAAAAUUCCUUAUGAACUUGAUCUAUUACUAUCCCUAAUUAUAAUACAAAAUAUAAGAUCCUUACUUUAAGAUGAGAAAAAAUGAAUGAAGUUUACCUUAUUUUAGAUAUAUCAAAUUUCAUUUAAAAAAAAAAGUUUUAUCACAUUAUAACACAAUUGUCAAGUUGAAGCUUUUGUAAUUAUCUAAAAUAUACGUACUUCUUGUUAUAAGAACUAAAUUACAUAUAUUCAAGUAAGAAAUUUGUAAUAUUUUUUCGCAUAAGAUGCUUUUAUCUAUUUAAAAUUGACAGUGUUUGCUCAUUAUUAAAUACGUCUUAUUCAAAAAAAUUUAUUCGGUAAGAAAUUUUGUACUCAGUCAUCUUAGCUAUAUAUUAAUUUUUGGGUCGAGUAAGAUUUUGAAUAGAUAAUCCAAAUUGAAAUAUCAUCCAAAUUGAAGAAAUAUAUUUGGUUAAUAUAAUGUAUUGAGUUUAGAAAAAUCAUCGUCAAAAAUAUAAUAUAUUAUGAAGGUGUAUGAACUAUCCAUAUAUUUUUGUGGGUAUGUGUGGUAUACUGGAAGUAGAAAGAAACUUUGAAGUAGAAUAAAAAUAAGAGAAGAAAUUCAAGGUAUAUAAAUAUACAUAUAUAUAUAUAUAGAGAGAGAGAGAGAGAGAGAGUAGAAAGAAGGUAGAAACUUUCCAUUAGACAGCAGAAAGUAACAAAAAUAAGAGAAGAUAUUCAACAUAUAUAUAUAUAUAUAUAUAUAUAAAAUAAAGGAUGCGGGAUAUAUUAUUGGCUUAUUGAUGAGUUUGGAAGAACGGUGCGGAUAGAACUUAUAAGUCCUAGGCCUUAAUGGCGUAUCCAAGAGAAGAAACGUAUUUGAUAAGUUUAGGAAGCUCAUUUUCAUCGACGAAUCCAUCUCCAUCAUCAUCAGCAAGCUUCAUUCCACGCCAAGAUCUGAAUCCAGGAACCAAGGCGCCCAAGUUUGAGAAAGCUUUCUUUAACUCUUCUUUACUCAGACGAUGAUCACCAUUGGAAUCAAAUUUCAUCAAAGCGGCCUUUAUGUCCUCCUCAGUUGGGCGUUUGGGUGGCGAUGGUGCUUUCUUCCCCACCAUAUGAGGCAUCUUUACUUAAUUCUUCAGACAAAUUUUAUAAUAUUGUUUUUGUUUUUGUUUUUGUUGGUACGAUCUUACAGUGCAAAUGAACAAGGCUAUUUAUAGAUGUUAUCAACGUCAAACCUUUCUUUUUCAAAAUAUUCUUGCUUAUCUUUCAAUGAAUGAUGGAUAUAUAACUAGAAUCCUUUUAUUUCCUCAUGCACUUGCCAUGCACCAAGGGAUAUAUACAUAUAUAUAUAUAUAUAUAUGUAUAUGUUUAUAUAUGCUCAAAUCUAUUUAUAUCUAUAUGGGCUCCACGACAUGUAAUGUAGUAUGUUAAGGGAACACUUAUAUUUAUAUAUAUGUAUAAAUGAUCCCGUGAUAAUCUAACUUUUAAAUUUGAAUUGCAUCUAUACUUUAUUAUAAUUAUUUUAGAUAUUUCUCUACUAAGAUAUUUUUAUGUUUAUAGUAAUUUUAUUUGUGAUUAAAAUAAAAUUUAUUUUUAAAAAUAAAAAUAUCAUUUACAUCACGUAAGAAUAUAUAUAAAAAUUGAAUAUUGAAAAUAAUUUAAACAAUUUAAAAAUUUAAUAAAGUUUUUAAGCCAAAGAAAUUUUAAUAUAAAUUAUUUACGUGGUAAAACUUUUUAAAAUAUUUUAAAAGAUAAGCGAAACACGAAAACUUCUCAAAAGAUCCUGUGCAUUAAUGCUAAUGCCAAAACUUUUAAUAUUUAAAUAAUCUGUGUUUAAAUUGAUAAUACUAUAUUAUCUUACUAAUGAUCAAAUUAUAAAUACUAUUACGUGCUAAAAAUAAGCCGCAUUAAAAAUUCCAACACUAUAAUUUCCCAUUGGGCUUUAUCAAAGCCCAAGUGGAAUACGCUAAAGUCCAGGCCCAUUUUUACGAGUCUCUGUCUAACUCUUAACACCGACCCCAAACUCGACAUGUUCCUCUUCCCAAUUCACAAAAAUGGAGUUACCAAAGCCCGCAUUUUCCUUCAAUCCUCUCUCCUCACUCCCAACAUUCAUCAAUCACCAUUCCCACCGACUUGGUACGGAGCUUUCAAGCCGAAUCGACGAAACCAAGCGGCUCGCCGGAUCCCUAGCCGGAAACUUCUCACCGUUUCCGGCUGUUAACUGGCUUCAGCGUCCCGCUUUUCGGCCUCCCUUCGCUUCACUUGCACAGCCGAAGCAAGCUGCCGUCGCAACACUCAGCUCGGAGCAAGUUGCCAAAGCCCUUGCUGGCACUCCCGUAUACACCGUGAGUAACUCGAAUAAUGAGUUCGUGCUCGUGUCGGAUCCCAAUGGAGUCAAAUCCAUCAGUUUGCUUUGCUUUCGACAAGAGGAUGCGGAGGCCUUUCUUGCUCAGGUUGGUGUUUUCCAGUAAGAGUAAGGAAAGGAAUGGAAAAAGAGGGGAAGUUUAAACUCGUGUGUUUUCUGUGCGUGCCAGUGUAUGUGUUUGACUUUUGUUGUUACGUGGCAUUGGGUCUUCAGGUUCGGUUGCGAAGGAGAGAAUUGAGGAGUAAUGCUAAGGUUGUUCCCGUUAGUCUUGACCAGGUAAGGUCUUUAAGCUCACUUACAUUCUUAUUUUCUCGUGUUAACUCUCAAUUUGGUCUCUGUGCAUCUUAAUAUGGAGCCGUACCAAAUGAAUGUUGAAAGUUUCUCUUUCUGUGCAUCUUAUAGGUAUACUCGUUGAAGGUUGAAGGUAUUGCAUUUCGUUUCCUGCCUGAUCCUGUUCAAAUAAAGAAUGCAUUGGAGGUUAGUUCUUCAUAUUGUCUUGUAUUGACUGUUAAUUUAGUCUUCAUUAAAUAAUUAACAAGAAUUAAGAAAUUGUUCAUGAUUUUACUUUGAAAGUUGAUAAGUUUAUUAGUUAUCCUACAAUUCAGAUUGAGCAAUUAUGAGAUCAAACUGACAAUAUUUUCCUUUGUCUAUCAGCUGAAAUCUGCAGAUAUCAAUAGUGGGUUUGAUGGAGUUCCUGUUUUUCAGGUAUACAGUUAACAUGUUGAGUAAAUGCUGGUGCUUCAAACCGGAAAAUAACUAUCCUUCAGAUGGCAUGAUCAUUACUUGUACUUACAAAAAGAACAGCUUUUACAUAUGCUUAUGCAUGCAUGAUCACUUACAUGCAAAUACUUGCAUAGAGGGGUUAAGUGAUUUAUGAUUGUGUUUGAAUGCUUGCAAUUCAUUUAGUUGAAAAAUAGUUUAUGAAAGAAGAUUUAAUAACAGUGUCAGAUUUCAAUACUUCUCCAAAAAAAAAAAUGUUGGGACUCCAUUACCUAUUUACUUUUCUACAAAAGAAAUUAGAAACUAUUCCCUGAAUUCAUUUUAUUUGAAUGGUUAGACUUCUUAUAUUUCUUAUUUUCCUCUAGCAAUUUGAAAAUAGUUUGAGAUGAGCCUUUUCUUUUUAAGGUGCAUUGGUACAAACUGCUGCACCAUUUGCCAAUGUACCAAAAGAUCUAUAUGGUUUCUUACUUCCUUAUCACUGUGUUUGCAGUCAGAUCUUCUGGUAGUGAAGAAGAAAAAUAAGCGUUACUGCCCAGUAUAUUUCAAUAAGGUUCAUUUGUCCCAUAAAUCACCUUUUCUUAAGCUGUUUUAUUUUUGGAACAAUAUUUUAGAAGAAACAGCUUAGAAGCACAACAUAUUGAUUUUCCCUUCUCUUCCCUCUCUUUCCCCCAUGCAGGAAGAUAUAGAAAAGGAACUCUUGAAGUCCUCAAGGGUAUCAAGAGGACUGGGUGUUUCACAGCAUAUUAUGGUAUUACUUUAGCGUCAUAUCCAUUCUUUUUGCAGCUUUUUAAACAUUUGGACUAUAAAAUUUAAGUGGUCAAAGAAUAAUUACUGUACAGAAGAUCUAUGCAAUAUAUGAAAAUUUUAUCUCAUUUGUUGAAGGGAGGGUAGCGAUGGACUAAAAAGUUUGUGGAGGGAGAAGUGACACUUCUUUUCAACUGUGCUAUUCCCAAUUUUUAAAUCGAAUUAGAAGUCAAUGUAAUAGUGACGAUAAUAGUUUCAAUGUUCUCAUUUCAAAGAAUUGUAUACUCUAUUUGGUAGGUGAAAAGACUUUCUAAUUUCAUUUCUAAAUUGGUAUGUCUUUAUUAGUACAAACAUGUGAUAGUUAAACAUGAAAAUCAUAUUUGGAAAAUGGGAAUAAAAAUGUAACAUGAGUUGAAACGAAACAAUUAAAAAAGCUGUGUCCAACAUCUUCUAGAAAACUGUUUUUAUUUAUAUUUAAGUUCAACAUAUACAUCCACCACCGUACAUGUUAUUAUAUAGUAGUGUUUUUUAAUUUAAUGAAAAUUAAAAAUGUUUCCUUUAUGAAGUGAAGCUGUUGCCUUUCACAUCAUGUUUCUACACAGAUUUCAUUAUUUAUGCAUAUAGUAUUUAAGUACGAAAAUAAGUGAUUUGGUAAACAAGAUAAGAAACUUCUCAAAAUAAGUAAUUCACAGGUUUUGCAAACUCGAUGCGGAUUGCAUGUUUAUGUGGUUAUACUGGAAUUGCUCUUUUAUUUUUAUUACCUUGAUAGAAUCUUCUAGAAUCCGUGAUCUUUGGUUCUAACCUUUAUGUAUUUCAUUUAAGGGCCAUCCUCUCCUCAAUGAAGAAGAUAUAGUGCCCUCUUUCUAUCUAGGCCUCUGAGUAUCUAAAGUAUAAGUAAAUGAUUUGAUAAACAAGAUAAUGAAAUUUAAAGGAAAAUAAUUCAGAGUUUCACAAAAUUCGAUCCAAAUUGCACGCUCACGUGGUUAUAGUGGCAUUUCUCUUUUAUUUAUAUUCUCUUAAUUGUAUCUUAAGAGUCAGUAAUCUUUUGUACCGAGCUUUAUGUAUUUUGUUUAAAAGUCGUCCUCUCUUCAAUGAAGAAGACCUAGUGAACUUUGUUGAUAUUUGACUAAUUCUGUUUUCUACUCUCUCCAGAGGCUCACUAUCUUGUAUAUGAGUGAUAUCCCCUCAGUACCUUUUCUCCUCCAAAUGAAAUCUUCUUUUUUUGUUGAAAGAUAUGUGAUAUACUGGCAUGGGUUCAAAUCUUUCUUUGUACUUAACUGAUAAACAUUGGGCAUUUCCUGCCUUAAUAUCCACCAUGUUUAGUUUGUUCGUACCUUAGAUGAAACCAAUAAACUGAUGUGUUCAUUUGACAAAUGCAAGUGCAAUUAUGUAUACAACACCAGGAGUUUCUUAUUUUACUUUGAUCUAUUCUUUUUAAACUUUUAUCAGCACUUUACGCUCUGUAUAAUAUUUGUUAUCUAAUUCAGUCUGUUGAACAGGUUGGAAGUCUAGAAGAUGUCUGAGAAAAAUGGAGGUAAUGAGCAUGAUUAGAUUUAGUACAUUUCUGAUUAGAAAAGGAUUAGAAUCUGAAUCAGUUGCUUUGGUUUUAUCUAGAUGAGUGAGAGGAACUCAGGUUGGGGAGAUCUGAUUUUUAUUCCGCCUGGUAAAAGUCACUCCCAGCACAUCCAAGAGGUGGUCAAAGGAUGAGAUCAUGGAUAUAUUGCUUCUACUGAUGAUGUGGAGCUUCAGAAGACAGUGAAUAUCUUUUUUUUUUCUGCUUCCGAUCUCCAUGGUAAAGCAGGUCAGUCAUCAACACUAAAUGAUAAAUUACCUGCUUGUUGACACCCUUUCUCUCUCGCAAUGGAGAAAGAUUUUGGAAAGUAACAGCCUGUAUGGUAACUUGAUGAGGAUGAAUACAUUUUUAUUGAAAUUAAUACAAGAUAAAUGGCUCGCAUUUAAGUGGAAGAAGUAAGUGAAAUGCUAGCAUGUCAAUGCUGGUCAUUGGAAAUUGUUAUACUGUACAGUUUGAUGUUUUUAAUGAGUACUUUGUUAUUUAGACAUACUGUUGCAGAUGAAUGGACUUAGUCAAUGAAAUGCUAGCAUGUCAAUGCUGGUCUGGAAUUUUCUAGUUGUUUUUCAGCAUCUGAUGAAGCACUACAAAGGAAAAUUAGAAGUUGGGGGAAACUUAAUCUCAACAAUAGGAAGUUGUGAUUAUUGUCCUUUUCAACACUAGACUGAGUUUUAACUGCUUGCCAUUGUGGUUUAUUUUUCCAUUUAAAAGCUUUUUUUGCCUCCUUGGAUUUUUUGUACCCUGCUCUUUCUUGGGAAAUCUAGUAUGGUAUUCCACAAAUUUAUUGGGAUGAGUUUAUAAUGUGAUAGAAAUUUAAGUGUUCGUAUAAAAUUGAGAUCUCAACCACUUGGUUUUCUUUUUGUUCUCAUGUUUUUCCUAUACACUCUUGUUAUUGCAGCUGUGAGUAUUAUCCUGGAGCAGAUGAAUGCAAUUAAAAAUAUGUGGAAUUCCCUUUUUCAAGGCAAAAUUUCUAUGUUUACAAUUCUUUUAGAAUUCGAAUCGAUUUCAAGAUGAAUUUAGCAAGUUUAAAAUUCAUCAAAUAUGAUAUAAUUUGAGAAUGACUUUGAAAGACUGGAGGGAAAAAGGUUUCAGAUGUCUUUUGCAACUGGUAUUCAUGCAUCACAAAAAGAGACUACUGAAACAACUGGUGAGUAUGAAGUAAAUGUGCUCAUAUCAUUUCAUGAUAGUGAGUAUGAACGAGGGUUCCAAGCCUGCAGACCCCCGCACCUCAUACUUCGAGGGAUUCAGACUCUGUUUGGAUUUGUUUUUUUGUUGAAAAAACAUGCUUUGAAGUAGUAGAAUGCCUAAUUACUUACGUGCUUAAAUUUCAAAAGACUAGUACGUAUUAUAUUUUGUAUUCUUUGCAAAAGAAUAAAGAGAUGAUCGCUAAACAAAUGAUUGAACAUGUUAAGAAAAGAAAAGAAUGUUAUAUGUGAGUACAGAAAAAGUUGAAAGCAUACAGGAACGAGUAUGUGUUUUUCAUUGGUUAAAUUUCCUCUAGGUACAGAGGAGGCAGCUUAAUGCGUUACCAGACAUGUAAAUUCGACCUCUGUCGAUUGUAAGAACUCGUCGAGGGAGGGUGUUGAUUCUAAAAAAAAACAUGCUUCCAUUUUAAAACAUGUAAUUAAUCUUAAAACAAAAACUGGGAACGUGAGUAAAGAAUUGGGUGAGUGAAAUGGUGACUGUUCACCAAACCGAAAGGUCAUAGGGCGUGCGUAUAAUAAGCUGUGGAAAUAUGUUUUAGGUGAGGUGUGAUGUCUCAACUUAAAUCACGUUUUGAAUUAUAAAUUAAUGAUUUGAGUUUUGGUGGAUUUCUGGUAACGGCCAAAUGUGACCUUUGCACGUAGAGGAGGUCGACAGGCCAUCCGCAGAGUUGUUGGCGUCCUCGUCUACUUUGACCCGAUGAAUCUCUUUUACCAUUUUAACCUUUUUUAUUCAUAAAUGCUUUUAUCCUAAAAAUACUCAUUAAAACAUUAUUAUGUUUUCUAUAUACUAUUAAUAUUAAUAUACUAAUUGUCCCGGUUGAUAUAGUGACUUGUGUUAAAGUUAUGUAGACAACAUGAAACACCUAAAAAAUGCUUAUGCAAAGUUAUAGUUCCCAGUGCAAUUUGUUCAUUAAAAAUAACAAUAAUUCUUGUUUAUAUUUUUAUAAAAUUAUAAAAUUAUUAAAAUAUAUUUAGAAUUAGAAUAUAUGUAAAUACACAGAGAAAAAAUUUGAAGUCUAUUGUCCAAAACAUGAUAACAAACAUGAGAACACAGUUAUAAAUACCUGACAACACAAUAAUGUGAUUGAAAAGAUAAAACGAACUAUCAUUGAGAAUGUGAGAUGUAUACUCAAAAUGACUACCCUACUUAAACUAUUUUAGGUCAAACCUCUAUUUAUUAUAUGUUACUUACUGAAUCAAUCUCUUUGGUUCUUUUAAAUUAUGACAUCUUUGAAAGAGGCGGGAGGGCAUAGAAAGAAAUCUCAUACUCUCACUUGGUGGAUGAACAUAUCAUCCAAGUAAGUUUAGACCUCAAAAGGAGAAAAUUAAUAAGCAAGAUAUAUAUAUAUAUAUAUAUAUAAAUUAAUCAGCUGGGUAAAAUGAGUUCUCAUAUAAAGAUAAAGAUGGGAGAUGCCCACUUCUUGAUGUUGUUGGUAUUUCACUGGACCAUGUAGUUUGACUACGGUUGAUCUAAUGACAUGCAGACAGUCAAAACAUUUGUGUUUUGAUUACAACUUAAAUGAAUUUUACUUAAAAAGUAUAUACUAAAAAAAAUAUUAUGUAUCUUUCAUUUCUAAUUUUCUGUAUAAAUAAAAAGUGACAAUUUUUAAUAAUUAAUGCCAUGUGUUUAAAUUUACUUCUGAAAUAAUUAAAACACAAUAAGACAAGAACCUGCAAGCUAGAUGUAUAUAUAUAUAUAUACGUGUGGAUAAAAUUGCGUAUACGAAUUAGAGAAAAUCAAGUAUAGACUGUAGAGUAGUUGUUGAAGGGAGAAGGUCAAUUGGGGAAUUGUAGAUUUUGAGUUUCUUUUAAAUAAAAUUCAAGCCGGACCAACAGGCAGGCAACUGCCUGAAAAGUGAAAACGAAAUAAAAGCUUUAUUUCCUCAAAACUUCUUGUCCACAAGCCAAGCAAAUCCUAAACAAGGAACCUCUUGACACAUGUACCUCCCUCGUUGCUCCCAUUUUCCUUUUCCCUUCUUUUACUUCUCUCGUGAUCUCUUAUGUCUAUAUUUAUGCAUGUAUAUAUAAAGAGGUGGGUACUGGUAUAUGCUAGAAUAUGUACAUACAUGUACAUAACUCAUCUGCAGCCGAGAACAUGAAUAAACCCAGUUCAGCUUUAAAUUAAAUCAUAUCUUAUUAGAAUGGUCAUGGGUGAUAGUGCAGUCAGCCUCGAGAAGAUGAUCAUAAACAAGGCCAAUAUUCCUUCCAAGGCAUUGAUCAUCAGACUCAACCUCAUUUUCCUUGUUUUCUUCUUUCUUGUCUACGCUGCUCUUCUUCUCAGACCAUCUUCGUCUUUAUACUUUUACAACGCUGCAUCACUUGUUAGGUGCUCUUUGCGCGAGUGCCAUCACAAGGUAAGGUGAGCUAAAACCCAUUUUCAUUCGUAUAUUGAUAUUUAGGAAUUGUCGUAAGAGGAAGAUGUUGUGUUUUUCAGGUGGAGAGAGGAGUUAAAAUGCAGGCAGAGUUUGACGGGAGAAACCCCAUUAUGGACAACGCUGUAGAGCGUAAGAGUAAUUUGAGUAAGCUAGAGGUGGCUAGCUUCAUGAACGAGAUGGGAAGAGGAUUAAAGAUUGGGAUGAUUAACAUGGAAGACGUGGAUGUUAGUGAAUUGGAAGUUUAUGGAGAACUUAUACAAAUUCAUUUCAAGAGAGUAUCAGAGAAUUUGGAAUGGAAAGAUUUAUUCCCAGAAUGGAUUGACGAGGAGGAAGACAAUGAGAAUCCAUGGUGUCCGGAGAUACCAAUGCCUGAGUUGAGAAUAUAUAAGGAUGAUAUGGACGUAAUAGUAGCAAAGUUGCCGUGCAAGUACCCAGAUGAAGGGUGGUCCAGGGAGGUUUUUAGGCUGCAGAUGCACCUGGUGCUGGCAACAAUGGCGGUGAACAAGGGGAAAAGAGACUGGAAUAGGAGGACAAAAGUGUUGUUGUGGAGCAAGUGCAGACCGAUGAUGGAGAUUUUCCGGUGCGAUGAUCUGAUCAGACAUGAAGGUAACUGGUGGUUGUAUCAGCCGGCCGUCGCAAGGUUGGAACAGAAGUUGAUGUUGCCGGUUGGAUCUUGCAACUUGGCUCUACCCUUGUGGGGACAAGGUUUGUUUCCUUUUUUCAUUUCUAUUAAUUUUUACUUUCCUACAGGUUUCUUCUUACCUCAAAUUUUAAUAAUUUUCUUUAAAUAAAAAUUUUAUAUAUUAACAAAUAAAUAAUAUAUAACACUACUUAUAAUACAAUAAAAAAUAGUUUUUUAAACAAAAAUACACGAAAUAUAAUUAAACUCAAGAAUUAUACCAAUUAUUUAAAUAAAUAAUUAUUAAUAAAUAUUAAAAAAAAUUAUUUCUCAAAAAUUAAUGAUAAAUUGCUUUUAACCAGGGAUUAUUAUGCAUUAAAUAUUUGGAGAAUACAAUUAAUAUGGUCUCCAUUAAUUGACUUUUUGAAUUUUUUUAUAAUAAUUUUUUUUAAGAAUACUCUUGAAUAACAAAAUAAUUUUUUUCUGUAGAUAUAUUGUUAUAGUAUUAAAAAUGAAGAAACUAUAGUAAUAUAUUGUUAUAAUAUAAGGUUUGGUUGUGUUUGAUGAUGUGAAAAUCAUAAGUCGUCUCAAAUAAAGGAAAGAAUAUUAAUCAAGAAAAUAUGCGGGUUACAAUUAUUAGGUACUAACAAAUCUUCACAUUCACACAAUUUAAUCUUUAAUCAUCAUAGGCAUAUUUUCUGUGCGUAUUAUUUAGAAAGUUAUUAUAUAUAUAUAUAUAUAUAUAUAUAUAUAGUCUAUGUUUGGUGAUCACAACAUACCUUAUUAUUAUAUUGGAUUGUAUUGAUCAAUACAAACCCAUUUCUAUAUAUUGCUGUAUAUCAUCUUUCAAGCUAAAUCAAAAUGAUGAACUAUAAAUAAUUAUUUACUUAAGACAUUAUUGUAGCAUAAUUCUUUCUGAAAAUUUCAGAACUUUGGUUCUUACCUUGGUCUAUGAGAAUUAAGAAGAAAUUAAUUAAAUUAAUCAAGUUAUAAUUAAUUACAGGUAUCCACGAAGUCUACGACACUUCCAAGAUCGAAAGCGCCGUAAAAAACCCUAGAAGAGAAGCCUAUGCAACGGUUCUCCAUUCCUCGGAAGCGUAUGUUUGUGGUGCCAUAACUCUCGGCCAGAGCCUCCAAAAAACCGGCACCAAACGCGACCUUCUAAUUCUCGUCGACAACUCCAUCACCGACGCCAAACGUCAAGCUCUGGUCGCUGCCGGUUGGACCAUCCGACUCAUCAAAAGAAUCCGUAACCGCAGAGCAGAAAAAGACUCCUACAACGAAUACAACUACAGCAAGUUCAGACUCUGGCAACUCACUGAUUACCAUAAAGUUAUCUUCAUUGACUCCGACAUCAUCGUACUCCGAAACCUCGAUCUCCUCUUUUACUUCCCACAAAUGUCAGCAACCGGAAACGACGUCUGGAUUUUCAACUCCGGCAUUAUGGUGAUCGAGCCCUCCAACUGCACUUUCAAACUACUGAUGAAACUGCAAGACGACAUCGUUUCGUAUAACGGGGGUGACCAGGGGUUUUUGAAUGAGGUUUUCGUUUGGUGGCACAGGUUGCCUCGGAGAGUCAAUUUUCUCAAGAACUUCUGGGCUAACACUUCGGUUGAGGCCAGCGUUAAGAACCAUCUGUUUGCGGCUGAUCCGCCCAAGCUUUAUUCGAUUCAUUAUUUGGGUUUAAAGCCUUGGUUGUGCUACAGAGACUAUGAUUGCAACUGGGACAUUGAUGAUCAACGAGUUUAUGCCAGUGACGUGGCGCAUGAAAGGUGGUGGAAGCUGCAUGACGCCAUGGAUGAGAACUUGCAGAAACAUUGUAGAUUGACGAAACGGAGGAGGAUCGAGUUGGAUUGGGAUAGAAAGAAAGCAAGAGAAGCUGGGUUUAGUGAUGAGCAUUGGCGGAUCAAUAUUACUGAUCCUAGACGGACCCUUUUGACUUAGAUACUCUAAUUUUCUUAUAUAUAUAUAUAUUUCUUUGUUGAAGAUUUUUGCUAGCUAGCUGUAUGUAGAGAAUUGUAUGGAAUUCUUUUUCUUUAUAUAUAUAAUUUAUGUGUGAAUAGAUGAUCAACACCCAGGAAACCACUUUAUAUCCGUUGUCUAUUCCUCCUCAUAUUAUUUAUUAUUAUAUAUUAACAUUUAUCAUACAUGAACUGUAUAAAAGAAUAUAAAUAUAUACGUGUUUGGGACUGUUAAUUUUGUUGCAGAUUCCUUCGCGAUGUUCUUUAAAAAAAAAAAUUUUUUUUAAAAAAAAGAAAAAGGUGGACCAGCUCCAUAACGGAUUAGGAAACAAAAGUGUUUUCAUUAUUUUAAAGGGAAAAAAUAUUUUUCAUAAUUGUCUGUUUGACGGUGACAGCAUUUUACUUAACCUCUUGUUCGUCGCGCGUGGCCUUCAUUUUGCUGUCACAUGCAUAUUUAUUUACCAAAUUGCCAAUCUCCGUUGAGCGUUUCCGCUACGUUUAUUUUGGUAAUUUGAAUAAGUUAUGAGGGUAAAAAUGUCUUUCGGUCAACGCUCAUCUUAACGGACGUUGAAGAGACAACUUUCCUUAAUGGACGCCGCCUUUUUUUACUUAUUUUCCUUUUUAACUGUAAAUAAUUUUUUAUUUAUUCGCUUUAAAAAUUAGGAAACCCACAGCCUUUUGAUUAUACCCACCAUUAAUUAUUAAGAAAAAAAUAUAUAUAAAGCUAAUCUUAAUAAAAUAUUAUAAGAACAACUUUCUUGUAUUUGUUUUUAAUUGUAAAUUUUCAAAACUCUGUGAGAGGUUGAAAUGAUGGAUUAGAAAUAAGUUAAUUUGGUUAAUAGAAUGAUUAAAGAAGAACCAUUUAUAUAGUUCUUCAAAUCCAUAAUUUGAUUUGUUUUAUGUCAUUGUCUGUCUUAUCUCUAAUGACGUUGUAAAAAAAAAAAAAAAAAAAAGGAAGGGUGGGCAAGCUGUCAAAAAUGUCUUCUUCUGGUUUAAACAUCUUGUGGUCAAAAACCCCGAAAGGGGAAAGAACAAGUAUGAAAGCCAUUACUAUUUUUAAACCCUAAACGAAUUUUCUUUUUGUUUUUGUUUUUUUGGUUUUUGGGUGAUUUUAAUUUUUUUUGUGAAGUUAAGAAAAAUUUAAAAAUCUCAUCUUCAAAGAUAGAAAUGGCGAGCAUACAGAUGGAUCUAGUCUGUGAUAGAUGAGCUAUGCUCCACGCACGUGUUUCCUCUCCGUUCUUUUCUCUUCCUAUUUUUGCCUCUUUAACUUUCCCACCUCUCUUUUCACUAACGUAUAUAUUCUCUUUUCCUUUUUUCCUUCUCUUUUUACUCUCUGAAUUUCCCGAAAUUCAUUCAUCUAUCUUCUUCCUUAAUCCUGGUACGUUCUUUCUAUUUUCUAAUCUUUCUUUAAUUUGCUUGGUUUUGGAUUCUCUUUUCUCUUUAUCCUUUGCUACCUGUUGAUUAAUAUCGACUUCACGAGUUUGAAUUAUUGGUGUUUCUCGAUCGGAUGACGAUAUAUACGUUGGCUUUCACAGCUACAAGAUGACGAAUCAAGUUUCAACUUCAAUUAAUUGAUGAUGUUUAUGUUUAUCAUUUAUUUCCACUAACCCUCCGUUUCUUAAAUGGUUGCUUUGAGCAUGUUGGAAUUUAUACCAAUUGGGUUUUUCUUGAAUUUGCCAACAAAAGCAGGUUUUGAUCCAACACAAGGUUUUGUUUCCAAAUUUGUUCUCAGGAGCUGACAUGUUGGGUAAUCUAGUUAUUUUAAGAUAAUGAGUAGUCUAAUUUACUCCCCUCAAAUUAAUCAAAUCUUGAAAGAGGGUUAUUUUCGUUGUUCUAUUUUGUUUACUGCUAUUCCCUUCUUUUCUCAGCUUGCAAACUUUCAUGGAACUUAACAUUCAGUUAUUUCUAUUUGCAUAUUAGUUUCAUAAUCCAAUAGAUAAUUGAGAGCUAGUUAGUGAUUAUAAUUAAUUUUGUAGCUCAAGCUUAUAAUAACAGUAUUUGAUCGCUGUUUGCUUAAAAUUCUUGUGAAAUCAUGCAUUAUGACUUGAUUGCAUGUUUGAAUCAUACCUGGUCUCAUUUUGGCAGCAUCUAAACGUGGAAAUUAACAUUAGCUGUGGAAAACAAAGAUCUAAUGCUAAACUCUUGAUACAACAAGGCUGGUUUUCUAUAUAACAUUUUGAUUUAUUGAUUAUAUAGUGAAUUAAAUCCAAAUCAUUUCUUUGGCUAUAAUAUUUUCUUUAAUCUAAGAAAGUCACAUAAAUUAUUUUUUUUCGUUUUCCAAGAAUUACUUAAAUUAAACUAUAGUUUCUCUGCCCUCCUUUUGCUGCUCCUUUACUAAUUUCAUUUCCAUUUUGUUGGAUAUUUCAGUUAUCUUACGUGGGCUACCUUGAAAGACUCUUCAAAUGGAGGAUGUAAAAACUUCUGAAGCAAUAGCUCCUCUAGGACCCUCUUCAUCUUCUGAGGAUAAUGCUCAUGCUUCUACCGAACCUCCAAUGAACCCAAUUAAUGGUAAACUCGGACCUGACUCCCAGUCAUCAGUGGUCGAAAAUUCGAAAUCAUCAUCUGCAAAAGAUGCUUCUGGUGAUUCACUACAAACUCUUCUGACGGAUAAUUCUACUUCCACUUUGGCACUUCCUCAUGAGAUCAAUCAUCAUAAUAUUGCGUUGGAAGGUUCUAAGACUGAGCAAGACACACUUGAUGGUCAGAGAUAUCGAGAUACUGAUUCUGUUGUCAGUGUUGAUGCUCGUCCUAACGAAGUACUUAUAGCCUCCACUUCCUCUCCUAAGGGAAGAGAUAAUGAAACUAAUCAACAUGUAUUGCCAUGCUAUGAAGUUACCCUGCCUGUUUUGAAGGUUAACAAAAUUGCUGUUGGAUCACCAAGAGCUAUGGGAUCAACUAGAGCUGUGGGAUCACCAAGAGCUGUGGGAUCACCAGGAGCUGUGAUAAAUAAUAAAGGUGUGUUGAUGGGAGAUUCUGACAGUGGAGGCACAAAAGGUAAUUGUCAAGCACCAAGAGUAGCUGAAUCACCCAGAGCUGCCGGAUUUCCAGGAGCUGCCACAGGGGGAUCUGUGACAAAACAUCCUGGGUCAGUGAUAGAGGAUUCUAAAGCCAAUUUCAUGCUUGAUACUUCUGAAUCUAUGGGAGAUGUUUCAUCACCGAAAGCUCUUACAGGCCAUAAAAUUACAGGGACCACAGAUUCUAAAACUGAAGGCACACAAUCUCAUCUUGCUGGUUCUAUUAGUUCAACCCGAGUUCGUACAGAUGACUUGAAUGUACCUUCUACUUCAUCUCCGAAAGUAAGAAAUUCCAACAAUGAUCACCAAGCACAGAUAUCCAAUGACCUUACUGAACCCCAUUUGAGGGUUGCUGGGGCGACUGUUGGAUCACCCAGAAGUUUUGGAUCACCAAGAGUCAUUUCACCGAGGGCCAUGUCACCAAGGGCAAUGUCGCCGAGGGCCCUUGGAUCCCCUAGAGCUGUUGGAUCACCAAUAGCUGUUAGAUCUCCAAAAGUUGUUGACUUAAACAGAGGCCUUAUUGAUACAGCAGCACCUUUUGAAUCUGUUAAAGAAGCAGUUUCAAAAUUUGGAGGAAUCACUGAUUGGAAAGCCCAUAGGCUCCAAACUGUAGAGGUAUGUUUUUCUUGGAUUUCAAUGUAAGAUGCUGCUUCGUAUCAAUUAAGUAUAGCACCUUCUAAUCAGCUUAUGGAGGUAUUUUCGUAAAGGGAUGUAAAAGGAAAUCCUUUCUCAAAUUUGUUACUUUUUAUAUGAUGAGUAUGUUUGGUCGAUUCAUAUAUAUUUCUAAUAGUAUGUUCUUGGAGUCUCAACUUGGUUGCUAUUUCUCCAAAACUAAAAUUUUGAGCAUAUUUAGUGAAUUAUUGUAGGUCUAAUUGUAUUUUAUUGGAUAUAGUGUAUCCUGGAUAUGUAGUAUAGUUAGGUUUAUUAUUUUGGUUCCCUUAUCAUCCUAUUUGAGUUUACUCUUUAAUUUACCACAAUUUUAAUAUUUGAAUUAACGUAGUGACACCUUUAACUCAUUGGAGGAAGAUUGCCAAAUCUACUUCUCAAAAUAAAAAUUGAAAAUUCUCCUCCAAAGGAAGUAAAGUGGUCCAAACAUUAAAGUGAUGAUGCAAUCAUAUAUCAACUAUUUAAGUAAUUAGUUUAGAAUAAAUUAAAAAGUUGUGCGGAAUUUAUUUUUUAAUCCAUAUUUAUUUUGACUAAGAUGAGAGGAGUCCUAACUAAAAUGAUUAAGUUUGAGUUCAUAUGAAAUUGUAUAUAGAACUUUUUGAGAUAAGAAAUUGUAUAUAGAAUUAAAAUAAUACAUUUUAAAUUUGAUGAAAUCUAUAGUACAUUGUCUUGAUUUCAUAUGGAAUUCCCUGUGAACUCAAUUGUUUGUCAUCCUAAAGAUUUUACAUCGUCUCCUUGUUGAUUUAAGUGUAGAUUUACAAAUAAAUUUCUUGACAUUUUUAAAUUUGUUCCAUACAUAGUGUUAGCGAACGAACAAGGUAAAAAUUAGGAGGAGAAUAAACUAAACUGUGGAUUUGUGAAUGUUUCUUUUGUAAUGGAAAGUUAUUGCUGUGAGAGAAAGUUUGUUAUGGAGAAUUGUGGCAUAUUGUGAUUGUACAGAUGAUUGUGGCGACAGAGUAGUGGUCUUGAAAUGCAAGACUUAUCUAGAUGUAAGGUAUUCUGUAGGAUCCUUUACAAUUCAGCCCUAAAAACAUUUGCUUCCAAAGCACUUGCAUGACGAUGUGCACUAUUUUCUAUAGGCCUAUCUGACUCAAAGUUUAAUGGAUUUAGUUGCCUUGGCAUUUGAUGUUCUGUGGUUGUUUAAUGGACAGUUUUCAAAGUUGCAUCUACAAAUCUCAUUGGGUCAUGAUUUGAUUAUUGUAAUGCCUGGAUAAAAGCAGCAUGGGUCCGCCAAUUUUUUCAUCCUUCCCUGGCCUUGAAAAGGUCAAUUUUAUGUUGUUGACUAGAGCUCUUAUAUCAAAUUCUAAAAUCACACAUUUCUUACGUGAAAUUGGAAAAUCAUGAUUAUGGUCCCUUGUUGUGUUGGUCACUGAAUGUGGUUACUGGCUACUGUACUGCUGUGCCUUGAUGCAGAUAUAAUGAAGGCGUCUUUCUAAGCAUGCAAGUAUUACGAUUUAACAAAUACUUGGUACGAUUAGUAGAAAGAGAAAGAGACAAAGGUCCUAACUCUUAGUGUGAAAGUUUCAUCUUUUUCCUAUCGCUGCUUUGCUUCUUGAAUUGAUAUGCAAAUAGUACAAUGGCUUCCCAACUUUCUCCCUAAUUGCAUUUGAUUGAGCACUAUCCCUGCUUAAGAGAUUUUAGCAUCCUCAUGUUCAAUAAAAGUGACAUGAAUUUCUUUCUGCCGUAUAGAGACGUAAACUUGUAGAACAAGAACUUGAUAAAGUACAGGAGGAGAUGCCCGAGUAUAAGAAACGGUCUGAGGUUGCUGAAGAGGCAAAAAUGCAAGUACUCAAGGAACUAGACAGCACAAAGAGACUCAUAGAGGAUCUAAAGCUAAACCUGGAGAGGGCACAGACAGAAGAGCAUCAAGCAAAACAGGAUUCUGAGCUUGCCAAGCUUAGGGUGGAAGAGAUGGAACAAGGGAUUGCUGAUGAGGCUAGUGUUGCAGCCAAGGCACAGCUUGAGGUUGCAAAAGCCAGACAUGCAGCUGCAGUUUCAGAGCUGCAGUCUGUCAAGGAUGAGCUGGAAACACUACGCAGAGACUUUGAUUCUUUGGUGGCUGAGAGAGAUAUGGCUAUGAAGAAAGCUGAGGAGGCUAUGUCUGCGUCCAAGGAUGUUGAGAGAACAGUGGAGGAACUGACAAUAGAGCUUAUUGCUACAAAGGAAUCCUUAGAAUCUGCACACUCUGCACAUCUAGAAGCAGAAGAACAAAGAAUAGGGGCAGCCUUGGCAAGAGACCAAGAUUCUCACCAUUGGGAGAAGGAACUGAAGCAUGCAGAAGAGGAGUUGCAGAGGCUAAACCAGCAAAUUCUUUCUGCCAAGGAUCUCAAAUCAAAGCUAGACACUGCUUCAGCCUUGCUUCUUGAUUUGAAGGGUGAAUUAGCAGCUUAUAUGGAAUCUAAACUGAAGGAGGAAGCUGAUGAAGACUCAAAUACUGAAUUAGAUGCAGCAGAGAAGAAAACUCAUACUGAUAUACAGACAGCAGUUGCUUCAGCAAAGAAGGAGCUUGAAGAAGUGAAGCACAAUAUUGAGAAAGCAACGGCUGAAGUGAAUUGCUUGAAGGUGGCUGCUACAUCAUUAAAAUCAGAGCUUGAAGAGGAAAAGUCAGCACUUGCCACCAUCAAACAAAGAGAAGGAAUGGCAGCAAUUGCAGUUGCUUCUCUUGAAGCUGAAUUGGAUCAGACAAGGUCAGAAAUUGCUGUUGUUCAAAUGAAGGAAAAAGAAGCUAGGGAAAAGAUGGUAGAGCUCCCCAAGCAACUACAAAGGGCAGCAGAAGACGCUGACCAGGCAAAGUCACUUGCUAAGUCAGCACAUGAAGAGCUGCACAAGGCAAAAGAAGAAGCAGAGCAAGCAAAGGCUGCAUUGAGUACCAUGCGAAGUAGAUUGUUUGCUGCUCAGAAGGAAACAGAGGCUGCCAAAGCUUCAGAAAAUUUGGCCUUAGCAGCUAUUAAGGCAUUGCAAGAGAGUGCGUCUGCUCAAAGCAGCAAUGAUGUCAAUUCAAAUUCAAGUGUAACACUUUCUUUAGAAGAGUACUAUGAGCUUAGCAAGCGUGCUCAUGACGCUGAGGAGCAGGCCAACAUGAGGGUGGCUGUUGCCAUUUCUCAAAUUGAGGUAGCUAAGGAGUCUGAGUCAAGAAGCUUGCAAAAGUUGGAAGAAGUGAAUCGGGAGAUGCUUGCUAGAAAGGAAGCAUUAAAAAUUGCAAUGGAAAAGGCUGAGAAGGCCAAGGAAGGAAAGUUGGGUGUUGAACAAGAGUUGAGAAAGUGGAGGGCUGAGCAUGAGCAACGCCGAAAGGUUGGUGAGUCAGGUCAUGGAGGGAACCCCUCAAAAAGCCCAAGAGCAAGUUUUGAGGUGAAGAAAGAAUCAAAGAACUUUGACCGGACACCAUCUGCUGUUGCCCAGCAGAUGACAAGCCCAAAGGCAUAUGGGCAUGGAAGUAACCCUGAAAUUAAUCCCCUCCCUGAAGCAAAGAUUGGAAAGAAAAAGAAGAAGCCUUUGUUCCCUAGGAUUUUUAUGUUUUUGUCCAGGAGGAAGUCACAUUCGUCCAAGUGAUGUAGCUUUUGCUCAAACCACAUAUAUAUGGUCUUUACUGUUAUGAUUUUAUAUCUCUCAUUGGGCUGGGUAUCGUUUAAUAGCCCUUAGUAUGUAAAUGGUGGUUACAUUUUUGUCAUGUAUGAUAUAGUUACCAGAACAUAUUUUUACUCAGUGAAAAAGGAUGAUGUUGUUGGAUAUUGGUGGCUGUGGAGGAGAGACAAGUUUGUUGGUAGUGUGUGGCUGACGAAGCCAUAAGAUGGUUUUAUCAUGUAUGUAAUUGUGACAGUUUGAACCUACUCAUGUAAAAAAUUUGAGUUUGGUCCAAUGAAAUAACUCUUUUUUGCCUGGUUUUUUGUUUAGUUGAAAUGCAAAAUUAUAGUGAUCUGUUUCGGAUGGCAUGAUGUGUGGAUGAAGUAGAAAAGUUUUCCUCAAUAUUGUGAAAAUGCUAUUUUAUAAACUAUGAAAAAAAUUACAGUAUAGGUUUUGAUUGACUUUACUUGCAGCAUCUUGCCAAGGAGCUUAAAUCUCUCCCCAAUCUGAGAAAGCUUAUUACCAAAUUCGGAAAAUACUAUUUCACCAAACAACUCAAGAAUGCUGUCAUUGCAGACAUUGAAAUGAAUUGGAAUAAACACUAAAGUGAGAGAUUGAAGAAUUAAACUUUCUUGUGUACAAAAUCUUGGAUGAUGAAUCUGAAAAUAAAAGUUUGCAGAACUUGUUUGUUUCUUACAAGCCAAAUGAUAUUGCAAAGAUGCCAUUUUACGGAAUACAUUGAAGAAGCACACUAGUGGGUGAGGACCUGAAUGAUAGUGUUGUGCCAUGGAUUUGAGAGGUGCUGCACAAGGUUGUCAAUAGGUCCUGCAUGAGUCACAUAAGCUUGGACAAAAAUACCAAGCAUUGCAAUCAUUGCAAGUCUUCCUGCAUAAAGACUUUGAGCUUAAAGACAGAUAGGAUAACUAUAAUAAUGCAGCAGCAAGUGAACAAGCCUCACCAUUCUUGAUUUCUUUCAGUUUCCAAUCAUGGGCAUUUCUGAUGUCUUUGGCAAGACCAAGUGGAUUUAGCAGAGGACCUCCAGGGUAGCUGAAUAAACAGAGUGCAGUUAAACUCCAUAUUUUCUCAAGGCGUAUAUGUGUUGGAUCAAUUUGGGUAAAAAAAUCCUGUGUUCUUAUAUCAAGAAUGGUAGAAUCUUCAAGCUGGUAGGAUGAGCAAGUGAGGAAGAAAAAAAUACCCAGGUUCAAGUCCUUCUAAAGCUGCUUCCAAUCCAAAGAAGGAUCCCUCUUUGGCUUGAGAUCCAGGACUAAUGAAAUCCAUAUACCUUUUGGUUUCCACGAAUCUGUCCAGAAUUCCAAUUCAGAAUUUACAACGAACAAGACGCAGAGGAAGAAUUAACUAAGUAAAUUUACCCCAUCAACAAUAGCUGGACGACAAUCAAAGUCGUUGUGCUGGCAAAUUCAAAUUUCACGGCACCUGCUUCAUACCAUACUGGUAUGUUGCUGAUUCCUGUCACACGAAGUAUCUGCAAACAAACAGUCACUACUCCCCAGAAAAAGACAUAUUCAUUUAAAGAUGCAAAUGGCACUUACAUCAGUGAACAAAAUUCCAGCAACUCCAACCAUGGCAAAGCGAGCAUGAACUAGCUCUGCCUGCACAUACCACUUCAAGCUUUCCGGAUCUUCCCCAAGCCCAAGUGGGUCAAACCCAUAAUCUCCAGCCAAACUUCAACCAUUCAAAAAAAAAAAAAAACAACCUCAAACAAUAAAUCGAUUACGCAAAUCAACUCCAACCUCAACAUAGACAAAUGGGGCUCACGUUCCAUCGAGAUAGGGAGGAGGGUCGAGCCCAGGGAGCCACGUGGGUCGCUGCUGAGCUUCAACUACCACUGCGCACGUCCUUGGCUUAGUAGACCAAGAUGUGCUUGUGACACCAAAUGGCUCUCUGUGUAUGUUGUUGCAGAAAAAAGAUGAUGAAGAAGACGAGCGUGGCUGGACAAAGAAGCUUACUCCUGCAACCGCCAUCUUCUUUCGUCUCUAACCACUUACACAAUUGUCAUUCAAUGAAGAAACUUGGGUCCACUUUUCUAACGCUUAGCGCAACCCAUUACAGAUAGGGUGGCUGAGCCUGAGGUAGACAACUCAAGUAAAUCUUAUUUAACAAGAAUGUAAAAUAGUAAAAGGAAUUUAUCUUGCACUAAGAGAGUCUCUACAUAAAUUCUUUUCAUACAGAGAAGAGAAAGCAAUAUCUGCUUUCAGUAAUAACUAAACAACCAAAUUGAAAAGCUUGAGUUGGGAAUCACCCAAAGUACUUGACACAACAACAGAUUUAUCUGCAGCACGACUACAAACCUAAUGAAACAGAGAUCUAAAAACACAGUGGACAAGUUCUUCAAAAAUCUAAAAAUAAAGUGGUCAUGACUAGGGUGACAUCCCAGCAUGUCAUCGCCUGCUAGACAUGCUGAAGGAGCUGACUUUCAAUGGCGUUGCAAUCACCAGUGGGGCAUCGGGAGAAUCAGUGACUGCAAAUUUAUCGUGCAUGAAACGACUAUCGACAAUUGAGUCAUCCUUUAGAACUAUCUUGUAACAGUAGCAGCUCUUCAGACCUUCUUGAUUACGGUAGCAUUCAUGAGACCCAUUCUUGACCUGUUGAAAGUUCCAUAUGACACUGAACUUGCCCACUGUUGCAACCAAAUGGCGCUCCUGCUUCCCAUUUUCUGUGACCUAAGUUAUUUAAACAUACAACUGUUAACAUCCGAUGACCUAAGUUUCUAACAAAUAAGUACCCUUAUAAAAUAUAAUCCUAGAAUUCCUAAGUAACAACAGAGAAGAACAAAAAUUUAAUAGGAAAAAGGAAAAAGAAAAGCAACAUCAGUUACCACAUAAAGCUUGUCAACGGCACUCAGAAACCAUUGUCCAAAAACAAAGCAAAUUGCGUAAUUUGAAAGGAUGGGCAAAGCACUUAAGCACAAAACAAAAUGGUCAUAGUAGGCAGAAUAUUCGAACAAAUCUCCUAGUUCUAAAUUAAAUGUUCAGAGCAGGAGAUAAAAGCAUAAGAUAUAUGUAUCUGCAUAUGCUUACCCACGAAAACUGAGCACUACGGAACUUGUUAUUAACUCCGGCUAACUGCGAAUCUAAGGGAGACAACUUCAACAAUCGUGGAGCUGCAAUUCUAUUUCCCAUACGGCCAUUAAAGCCAGUCUUCAUCUUACCAUCUUUGUCAGUAAAAAGCGUGCAGAUGAGAAUCAAAUAUGUGUCAGUUGUACCCAAUAUCCAUUUCCCAUCAAAGGUAACAUCCACAUGAGUGAUAGGUGAACCAAGACCAGGAAAAGCUGUCUUUGCCUGUCUCAUUGAAUUGCUAGAGUAGAGUCUGAUCUUCCCAUCGAGAGACCCAACAACUAUUGAGCCAUCACCAGUCGAUGCAAAGCAUUGGAAGUUAGUCCCUCUGGAAAAUUGAUGUCCUUGGGCCCAAUUCAAAACAGGGGUAUCGGCAGUCGCAAGAUUUUGAACCAUGCCUUUCCGAUCACGCAUGUCCCACCUGCAAAGUCUGUUAUCAUCCAGCCCCAAAAACGUUGAUCCAGAUGGGUCCAGUUGGGCUCCUUUGCUAUCAUUUGCAAUAUCCCUCAUGGUGAUAUCCACUCCAUCCUUCUCAAAUCUCCACUCUGUAACAAUUUUACCGGUUUCAAUAUCAAGCUGAUGGAGUCCAGUAGAAUGAGGUUUCUUUACAUCCAUGGGGCUCAUGAGCAGCAUAUUAGUCUCAGCCCUCAUAAGAAGAGCCUUUUUGGGUGUUGAAUGAACCAAACUCGAGCCACUUCUAUAACUCUCCGUAUCAAAAUUCACAUACACACCUUUUCCAUGAAUCCCGUGACUGAAAUUCUUAACAACCUGAAUACCAGAAUUACCCACCAAGAAACUGUUAUCCAAAGCACCCAGCGCCAAGCUUUGUAUGCCAUCAUUCGCUGCCUCUUCAAAUUCCUGUCUCAAAUCCUGACUUGCCCGAACUGGCGUUGAAGCUUCGGGGCUUUUCAGUAAACUAUCGUCAGCAUCUUCCCACAUUGAAUCAUCGGCGAUUUCAGGGUUUGCCCACCCAAUAAAAUCUUUCCCAUAUACCUUAACUUUGUUGACUUCGUUUGAUUCAAACCCAUAUACGUUCUCAAACAAACAAUCAUUAUACUUGGUUACGAAACCUUUAUAAUCCUCAUCAGAAAAAAAUUUCAUAGCCCAAACACCUUGAGCAACAAAAUCAACUCGACGUUGUUCUGGAAAGGUCUUCAAAUACGUCUCUUCCGACACUUUCACUCGAAUCUUAGAACCAACCUUCAGGACCCACCAAGAUUCUCCUUCUCCAGCAUCUUCAUCAUCCUCGUCUUCGUCUUCCUCUUCUUGACCGUCUAGUUUUGAUGUCUUGACGAAAGAGUAAGAUGCAAACUUCUCUGAUGUGAUCCAUUUGGAUUUGGGUGUGUUUGCACCGACGUGAAGGUAAAGCCUCACAGCAUUUUUGACAGAAGGGUUCUGGCUUGACGGGUAUUUGAGCUUCAAAGCUUUGAGUUUGGCCUCUACUUCAUCAAGAGAUGAAGGAGUUUUGGCCCUGCGACCUGAUGAUCUGUCAGGGGUGUCAUCUUUGGAAUCUUGGUAGUCUUCCUCCUCUUCUUCACCUUCCUGUUCUUCGUCUUCUGCAUCCGAGUCUGAGAUAUCAAGAUCUUCGCGACUGUGAGCGCCACCCAUUAUUGGGAUGUGUUUAGAAUCAAUUAAAGAUCAGAAUUGAGAGAAGGAAUUGUUUGCUUUUGAGAGAUCGAUGAGACAAAUAAUUUUAAAAAAAAACGGAGAUUGAAAAGUGAAGAGCGCCAAGUUCAAAUUUUGAAAUUGGAGCCUUCAAGCAUGGUUUAUACAAUAAUUUAGGGUUUUGAAUGAAUGAUGUUAGCCAAUCGAAGCGUUGAGGCUGAGGGGGUCACCGGCUACUCCCGGUGUCCGGGGAUCCUACAUUUGUCCAAUCGGGUUAUUCUGUCCAGAUCUGGACCCUGUAUGUACCCGGACUCUAUAUAUAUUUUAAAUUGAUUAUAAUGUUUAAGCAACAAAAAAUGAUUAUGGUUCGCAAUUUAACUCUUAACUUAUAACUAUUUAAAUUAUAAAAUUAAAUUUUAUGACAUAUUAUAAAUAUAGGCCAACAAGAAGAAUAAAUAGUAAAUUGUAUUAUUCAAUUUAAUUGAUGUAAUUCACUUAAUUUUAACUAAAAUAUAUUUAAUAAGAUAACUUAGGUUAUGUUUGGUACAUAAAAAUAUUUUUAAACUUUUAUUUUUUAAAAUUUUUUUAUCUUUAUUUAUGAAAGUAUUUGAAACUUGCAUAUUUAUAGAUUUAAAAAAUAAAAAAAAUUAAUUAUAAUUUUCUACAAGCACUUACACAAUUUUUUAAAAUUAAGAAAUCUUCACCAUCAUUAUUUUUAAUAUUAAUUAAAUUAUAAACUUUUGUAGAUGAACACAUAUAUGUUUAAAAAAUAUAAACUAGUAAGUAAUUUCAUAUACUAUGUGGCAUCAUAAAACGAACAAAAAAGAUUCAAGGUUGUCCCUUUUUUUUUUUUUUUUCUUUUUCGAAGUAAAACCAACGAUCGUUUUGCCACCCGCUAACAAUUUAGUGUAAAUCACAUAAUUACAUGUAGGAAGGUAGUUUGCUGUGUGCAAUCUGUAGACAAGGUUGGUGUAUGUAUAAAUAAGUCAUUAUGAGAAUAAAUGGUCAAAAGAAUUAGCUUUAAGAUAAACUUCCUUGAAAUGUAAGUGACUAACUCCUGAAAAGCCAUCGCCUCCCAUGUCCUUCAUCAUCUCUCGCACUCUCUCUACAUCAUCCCACAUUCCUUUAACAGCAUACAGAUUUGACAUCAAUAUAUAAAGGCCACCAUUUUUGUUAUCCAUUAAAUAUAAUUUCUUAGCUAAACAUUCCCCGAGCUUGACCUCUCUGUGAAUGCAACAAGCACUAAGCAAUGCUCCCCAAACUGCUGAAUCAGGAUCCAUCUUCAUAUUCUUGAUAAACAGAAGUGCCUCCUCAAAUAAGCCUGCACGACCGAGAAGACCAACCAUGCACGUGCAGUGUUGCAAAUCUGGGACUAUACCAAAUUCUUCUGUCAUCAUUUUGAAGUACUUUCUUCCCUCAUGAACAAGACCCGCAUGAGUACAAGCAGCCAGAAGUCCUAAGAAAGUGAUAUCAUCAGGUUUUAAUGCUUGUUCUUGCAUUUUAGAGUAACAAGCCAGAGCUCUGUGCUCAAAUCCACACAAACUGUAGCCUGAUAUCAUUGCAUUCCAGGUUGCCAAACAUGGAAAUUUUAUGCACUCGAACACCCUUUCUGCACCCUCUAUGCUCCCACACUUGGCAUACAUGUUGAUAAGAGCAGUACCAACAAAAUCUUCCACUUGUAGAUUAUUUCGAAGAAGAUAACCAUGAAGUUCCUCUCCAACCUGCAAGUCUCCAAGUUGCGAACACCCUGUUAACAAACUGGCAAUAGUAACCCCAUCUGGACCAUGUCCACAGAGAUUCAUUUGACGGAACACCUCCAUGGCAUCCCUCGCUUUUCCAGCCUGCACCCAGCCAGAUAUCAAUGAGUUCCAACUAGUUAGAGGCUUCUCAUGCAUGUCAGAGAACAAACAGACCAUAGCUUCAAUGUUGUUGAACUUGCAAUACAUAGUUAUCAGUCCAUUUGCAACCAAAUAGUGAGUGCAUAGCCCACUUUUAAUUGCAUAACCAUGGAAAGCAGCCCCAAUAUCCAUGUAACUGAGGUCUGUAAAGCCAUGGAGAAUGCUAACCAUAGCAACAGCAUCCACUUUCAUUUGCAACUGUUGCAUUCGUGCGAAACAUGCCAUGGCCGACUCUGUAUCUCCUUUUUCAACAUAGCUUGAAAUAAUUGCAGUCAAUGAGACCAAAUUCUCCUUGGGCGCUGACCAGUAAAGCCAUUCUGCUGAGUUUGUCUUUCCAAAUCUUGCAUAUGCACAAAUUAAAGAAGUAAGAACAGAAGCAUUAUUAAUGAGGCCAAUUUUAAUAGCAAAACAAUGAAUAGUCUCAGGGUUAGGAUUAGCCAACAGAAGGCUUACAAGACUGACUGAAUUUACUUCCACACCCUCCUCCAGCAUGUAGUUGAAAACAAGCAUAGCCUCAUCAAAAUAACAGUUUUGUCCAUAAGCACCAAUCAUGGUAUUCCAAGAAACUACAUCUUUGGCAAACAUUUCCUCAAACAAUAACUCCGCUGCUUCCAAAUCCAUACACUUAGCGUACAUAGAGGUGAAAGCAUUCUUCACUUGAGAAUCAAAGUGGAGGCCAGUUUUAAUUCCAAAUCCAUGAACGGAUUUCCCUUGAAACACAAUCUCCCGCUGCGCACAAGAAGGAAUCAAGCCAACCAACGUCGUCUCGCGAGGAGAAAAACCCUCUCUGAGCAUUUGAACAAAACUCUCCAGUGCAUCAAAAUCAUAUCCAUUACGUGAAUACCCGCAAAUUAGGGCAUUCCAUGCGACAACAUCUCUCUCAGGCAUAUCAUCGAACAACAGUCGUGCAACUUUAACGCAAUUCAAUUUCGUAUACAAGUCAAGGGUAGCUGUAGUUAUAUAAACAAACUGAUCAACACCCGAUUUUACCAUGUGCGUUCGAAUUUGAUCGGCUUCUAGCGUUGGACUAAUUGAAUCAUAAACAGAGAAUAGUGAAGGAGAUGAAGUAGAGGCUUUGAGGAAUAAAGAGAAAGUGAAGUCAUUUGGUUUCAAAUUGAACUGUAACAGUUGGCGGAAAAUAAUCAACGGGGAUUCUGGGUUUUUGCCUUCAAUGCAGGAUUUGAGUAGAGAGUGGAAAAAAGAAAGAGAACUGGAAUUGAUCAGAUUCAUAAGAAUAGAAUCAAAAUAUCCUCUGUUAAGACAAGUCCAAACGGAAAAAAGACAGUCCAAGUCUUCCGCCCAGUUUCAGGAAGUGUUUUAAGUGAAAACUACUUUGAUAUAUAUAUAUACACACACAUAUAUGUUUAUAUAUAUAUAUAUAUAUAUAUAUAGUGGCGAAAGUAGAAAAUUGAGCUUUUCUUCUUUUUCUGAAGAAAGUAGAAAAUUGAGUUAGAGGAGAAAAAUUUGUCAUUCAAAAUAAAUUUGGGUCUGACAUGAUAAAAUAUUAUAUUAUUUCCCGUUUAUUUUUUUUAUUUUUGGUUGAAUGGUAAAUAUUGUUACAAUUUUGUGUGUUUUUAUUAGAUGUUGUUUUAUAAUUAGUAUAUAUGUAUUAAUUAAUUAAUUAAUGUACGAAUUUUUAUUUAAAAAACAUUUAUUUACGUUUUCAUAAAACUUUUUUAUUAAAAAUUAGAGAAAUAAGAUAUUGAAAAAUACUUUUGUUUUAUUUAACGUAAUUCUUUAGUAACUAAAAAAUUAAAGAGAAAAGAAUAAGGGAAUUAGAUAAAAGUUUAAUUUUAUUUGAUAUUAUAUAUUUUUAAUUUCAAAAAAAGAAUGAGAUUAUUCAGUGAUUUUUGAAGAAAAUGAAAAAUUAUUUAUUAAAUUUUAUUACUUUUACAUAAACUCAUGUUUUGGAGGAAUCUCCCCUCCAUAUUACUAAAUUAUUAUUAUUAUUAUUAUUAUUAUAUUGUUAUUAUUACUAUAAGGGCAUUCUUGUCAUUUCAUAUCUUCUCCCAUACAGCAUAGUCCUUUCCGGCGCCGUUUGGAACCAGCUUGAAAUUCGGAGGAAUAAGAUUUCCAAGACCCCCAUUUGGCCCAAUUUUCAUUAUGAUUUUCUCAUCGAUCUCCGCCACGUACAGAUCAGAUUGUGCCGCUAGAAUCUUAACCCUGCUUCUUUCAUUGAUCCCGUGCUUCUUCCUAAUCGCCAAAAUGUUGGUAAUCGGCUCCUUUAAGCCCCACUCAAAGUAAUGAUCAUAAAACUGCAAAAACCAGAACCAGUUUAUUUUUUCCUUGCGAAUUUCAGACCUACCUAAAUACUUUCCGAAUCGGCCGUGGAAUAUGAGUAAAUUAAAGGGUAGAGAACAGGAAGAACUUACAAUGGUGGGAGUGCCAGGGUGGGUGAGGAUAUAAACAUAACCCAGCAUCACUUUAUCACUUGGGAAUUUGCAAAAAUCUUGAGACCAAGUGUCGUGAUUGUCGAUGAACGUCACCGCUUUCUCCGGCAAAACUCCGAGCAAUCCCGGCGGUUUUCCGUCGGUGUUAUUCAACCGGAACAACUCUCCCGUCACCGCAACCUGAAGAGAUUCCUUCAAAGGAAAAUCAAAUGCAGCCACCACUCCGCCGGCAUCCUGAAUCCACUUCCGCAGCUCAUCGCGCUUUCUGUUAUCUCCCGGAGGGAGCUUUUCGUUACAGGGAGGAUGCCAAUACUCUGCAACUGCCAAAUCGGGUUUUGUCCGAUCCACGUAAAUUUUGGUAAUGCUUGGCGCGAACCCUACUGCGUAAUCAAUUCGCCAUCCGCCAUUAAAACCGACUUCUGUUUUCAACCAAUUGAGCCAAUCCGAUAGCUCGUUUUGCACUCUGGGAUUGGUAUGGUCAAUGUCAAUGGCGAAAGGGAAGUCAUCGCCGGUGUCUGGAUUGCCGGUGCCGUGAGGGAAGUUCUUGUCGGUGCUACAGACCAUGGCGGGUCCCCAGUCAAGACGAUCAUCUGGUGUCCCUCCUUCGAAGAAUAUAUCGGUCUCUGUCUGGCGCUCUGGGCUUCUGUGGUUAAUUACAAUGUCAGCCAUGCAUUUUAUCCCGCUUUGAUGAUAAGCUGCAAUGAGUGAGCUGAGUUGAUCCCGAGUUCCGUAGUUUGAGUUGAGAUCAUACAGCUUUGCUGGUUUGUAACCUUGGGGUGCAUCGGCGCCGGAAUUAGAAGGAGGCGGCAGCCAGACAUGAGUAAUCCCGGCAUUAGCAAUAUCAGUAGCAGAGUUCUUCAAGAAAUUGUAUAAUUCUCCUCGUUUUUCCGAUGAGGCCCAAGUGAAACCCUGUUACAUUACACAGCGAAGGAGUCUAACUUCGUAAUAUGGCAAUACCAUGACUAGAAAGAAACCUAGAGAAAACGAAGAAGAAGAUGGAGAGAUACCUGAAACAGAACUGCUGGAGAUACGAAAGCAGGGAAGAUAGAGGAUAAGAGGAAGAGGAAGCAAAGUGAAGUGAUGACUGAACUCAUCUUGUUUUAUUUUGUGUUUGAGUAGAUGCAUAUGAUGGUAUAUUUAUAGGCACAUGAUGGAUCCCAUGUUGAUGACGCUGUAAUAUCUGUUCGUAUGCCACCUUUGGGUAAUUUUCCAUUGACUUUGGAAAUAAUUUUUGGUUAUAUAUAAUACAAUUCAAAAACAAAUUAAUCUUGCCCACAUUGAAAUUUUACAUACAUUAAAAAUAAGAACCAACAAAAAAGAAAAAAAAGAUUUGGAUGAGGUUACUCUUGUUAUAUUUUUGUUCUUAAAUCCUAGUUUGUUUUAUAUAAAAUAAUUAUAGUAAUUUACAUAUUCGAUGCAUAACGAUAUCAAAAUAAUCAUAAUUCAUAUUAUGUUUUUAGUUAUGUUUUACUUAUUUAAUAAAAUAAUUAAUGUUUAUAAAUAUAUUUAUUUCUUUUAUAUCGACUCAAAUUUAUAAUACUAUCAGAGUGAAACAUAAGAUUUAAAAAAGAAUAGAUGUUAAACUUUAUUAGUGACAAAUAAAUUUUUUGCAUGUGAAAAAUCUCAAUAUAAUUUUAAAAAUUAAGAAUUAAUCGCAAAAAUUUUAGACGAUCUAAAAAAUACGAAAUUAUGAUUAACUUUAUAAAUUGUCUUGGGUACUGAGCAUUUACUUAUAAGAAUUAAAUUUCUCGCAAUAACUAGCUGCAACAACUUCAUAACUAGGAAUUUGGUAGAUUAUUUCUUACGUAUAGAAUCAUUCAUAUUUUAAAUUAUAUAUAAUAAAUUUUCUAAUCUCGUAUGUUAAUGAACAAAUUACAAAAACAUCUACUAUGAAUUUAUAUAAUUAAAUUAGAAUUAUGAUUUUAUUUUAUUUUUAUAAAAUUUUAUAUUUUGGAUCUUGUAUGUUUAGAUAAAUAUAUAUUUAUCUAAAAUAUAUACAAUAAGAUGAGAUCGGUUCAAUCUUUUUAGUAACAGAUUAAAUAGACUUUAAUUAUAAUUUAACUAAUAUAUAAUAAUACGAACAGUACUUUAUUGAAAUCAUAUUAACAUAGAAAUCUAGAAACAAAAUAAUAAUAAUAAUAACUAAUACAUGGAUCCUUAACCUUCUGUCGUUCUUCGUGAACGAUUAAUACACGUAUCCUUAAAGUGUUUAAUCCAUUUUAACUUGCGUUUGAUAGUCAAAGUUAUGUUUCUAAAGUCAGUAUAAUCUUCCUUGACAAAACUUGGUUUUAAUUCAACGUAUUCUGGUUGUAAUCUUCAUUUAGAAAAACCAACUCUUUGACUAGAGACUGAUUCGCAGAUUCAUGAUUGUAUAAUACUGUAAAAAUAGAAAAAGGACCCAAAUAUAUAUAUAUAUACAUAUAUGUGUGUGUGUAUAAAGGGGCAAGCUUAAUUAUUUUGAAUUUUCACCAACUUAAUUCGGCAAUUCCUUUCUUGACAAGUUCAAUUUCCAAACUCCAGGUCACAAAGUUUGACUCAAGUGUAUUACACAAAUACAAAUUAGAUUUAUCUUCGUGUCAGCUUAAUUUACAGUAUAAAAAUAAUAUUUAAAUAAAUAUAUAUAUAUAUAUAUAUAAGAAUUAAAUUUAUAAUCUCUCAUAAAUAAAUUAUUUAAUUAACCAAUCGGUAAUCACUUUCUAAUCAUUUUUGAUAAAUUUAUUAUAAAUUAAAACUAAAUACAAUCACGUUAUGCUAUUCGUUACUAAAAUGUGUAUUCACAUAUACUAUGGUUAAACGAAUUAACAGAAUUUUAUUUUUUAUUUAAAUAAGAUGCAAUAAAAAUAAUUUUCUAUUUCUAUUCCGUGUAAUAAUAUUGAUUAAACUAUUUACGGAAUUAAUUAAUUAAUUUCAUUUAAAUUAAAUGUAAUAUAUGAGAUAUAUUGUUAAUGUCACAGUAGUUCGNNNNNNNNNNNNNNNNNNNNNNNNNNNNNNNNNNNNNNNNNNNNNNNNNNNNNNNNNNNNNNNNNNNNNNNNNNNNNNNNNNNNNNNNNNNNNNNNNNNNNNNNNNNNNNNNNNNNNNNNNNNNNNNNNNNNNNNNNNNNNNNNNNNNNNNUUAAUGCACAUCUCUUGUGAUAUGAAAUUUAUUUGUUUUUAAAUAAUUAAAGGAUAUAAAUUAAUUUACAAAUUUAAAAUAGAAACUAACAGGGUUUAGUUCGCCAUCCUCUAUUGAUCUUGAACUUGUUUCUCAUCUCCCUCUCACUUGAAUGAAGAUGAAUUGAGGUGAGUUUCACGUGCUAAGUAAGAAAAAAAAAAUCUAUAAUGUAGGAUUUACGUACAUACAUUCACGCAAUAUAUAAAAUAUAAUAAUUUUUAUCAUCAAAAAAAUGUCAAAUAAGCAUCACAACCAAAAUACAUAAUAAAACAAAUCAUCGCACAAAAUAUAUUUUAAUCUUCACUUUUUAAACCUAAUUCUUGUUAUCUUUUCAAAUUACACUCAUGCAUUCAUAGAUUCUUCAAACAAAAACGGAUUUACUCACACACACAUAUCACUCAACUCGAAUUUAUAAUUUUAUAUUAUUUAGCCUUUUAAAGCUUAAUUAGAUUACCAUCGCGCGAUACCCGUUAUAUCAUUAUCGAAUAUAGGAUCCCUCCAUCGCAUGUAUAACACAAAAAAAAAAAAAUCUCAUAUUGGCCACAGAAGUUACGUUUGCUAGGUGACCUACGCUCAUAAACACAUAUCCACGUAUAGACUAAGUUUCAAACUCUAUCUAUGUGCAGGUUCACCAUACCAGCUGAACUUCAGCCAUACACGCACCUUUCCCUCCUCGAUUUACGACUAACAAAUGACGUGUUUUAUUUACUCUUUACAGUUUUCUUAUGAUUGCCUUCCUAGUGGCUUAUUAAGUCUAUUUCUCUAGCUAACUUACACUUAUCAAUUUCUUUGGUGUUUGUUUUCCAGAUGUAUUUAACUUAUUUAGUUUUUUAUUUAAAAAUCUAAAAUUUAUAUUAAUUUAAGGUAUUAACUUUCCAUGCACAAUUAAAUACAAACAUACAUAUAAUAUACGAUAUUAUCAUGCACAUCAGAACUAUACAUGUCAAAAAACUUUCUGAAUCAUCAUAUAUCAGAUCACACAGCAAGCACAAGAUACUCAAAUUUUUCGCGCAACUGUACCAGAUCAUACAGUAAGUACAGUGCACCAUACAUCUACAUCAGAUCACACAGCUAGUGCAAUGUAUCCAAAUUUCAUAAGUACAUACACUGGUUAUACAUUUUACAUACAUAACAUAUGUACACACAUUUUAAUACACACAUAUAUUAUAAUACAGAUAUGUACCAUCACUACAUGUCUCACACAGAAUAUAUAUUUAUAUUUACAUACACACAAACAAUUUCUAUCGAUAUAUAUACACACGUUCAUAUUUAAACAUGUAUACACAAUCACACACAACAUACCAGAUAUAUAUAUAUAUAUAUAUUUAUUCAUGCAUUUGUUCUUAUUAACUCUAUUCAAAUUAAUUCAUCGUAUAUUUUUAUCUAUAUACACAUAUACAUGCGUAAUAACGUGUAUAUAUACACUAUAUAAAUAUAUACAAAUACAAAUUAAAUAUACUAAUUAUAUUUAUAUUACAUUACCCAUACAUUUAAAUAUUCAUACAUAAUGCAUAUUAUAUAUACACAUUUAUAUAAAUAUAUAAUUUAUGUAUUUGUACAAAAUACGCAUAAUUUUUACCUAUGAUAUGAUCGGAAAAACUUUAAAAAUUAUUUUUACCUUGAUCUACAGUUAUAUCAGAAAUUCGAAUAUGGUUUGAAUAAUUUUAUUCGUUUAUAAUAAAAAAAUACAUAUAUUAAAUUAUGAAUAAUUUUAAAAAUUAUACCGAAAAAUGAAUUUUACCUUGAAACACGUGAUCUCGAUUGUUAACAUUACCACGCGACAUCAUACGCAUGUCACCGAAAAUGUUAUACAAUGAUAAUCGAAUCAACGCGCGUUGUCGCAUGUGACACACCAACAUUUCGCCGCACUUACAUUUUUCUUCCUUAAUUUAAUUAAUUUUUUUAUUUUUUGCCCUUUUUUUAUUUUCUUUCAUCAUUUUUUUUCUUUUAUUCCUUUUUUUUUUUUCUCUUCUCCUUUUUCCUUCCUUCUUCUUCUUCCUCCUUUCCCGUAGCUUCCUUUUUUUUUUUUUUCUUUCUUCUUCCUUUUUCUUCUUCCUUUGUUUUUUUUUUCCUUUCUUCCUCUCUUCUUCUUCUUCUUUUUCUUUUUUUCUCUCUCUCUCUCUCUCUCUCUCUCUCUCUCUCUCUCUCUCUCUCUCUCUCUCUCUCUCUCUCUCUCCUUCCUGCGACGUCUCCCCUUCUGCCGCGUCUCACCUCCGCGACUGCCACUCACUCCUCCUCCUCACGCGGCCACGGCUCCUUCCCUCACUCCGCUCUCCCGGUCCCGAUCCUCACUCAACUUGGCCUCCUCUCUCACCCGCUCGAACUCAGCUCUCUUCCCCUAGUUCUUGUUUUUUUCUUCUGCUAUUUCAUUAUAAAUCUAUUUUUUUUUUUUUGCGGCUUGGUUUGUUCUCUUUCUUUUUACAUUCUUUUUUUAAAAAUUAAUUAAUAUAUAUUAUAUAUAUAUUUUUUGUACCCAGCUGGUGCUCGAGCUGACUAUUAUUACACACAAUUAUUUGCUAAACAGUUUUCAAUAUAACGAAUUUUUGAUAAAAUUUGAUUUCAUAAUUUUUUUAAGUAAGUAAAUUAAAAAUUUAACCGUAUAUUAUUAAUAUAAGUUUAUUUAUAAAGUACUACACGGAUAUAAUUAUGUAAGGAAGAUAAGAAAUAUAUUAACUAUACUUUAAAAAAAAUAUUCCCACGCCAUCAUACAGAAUAAAAUUGUAGUAAGAGGGAGCUUUAAAAUUAGCUGUUGCACAUCUAUACAAUUCUUAAUACGAAUUACAUGAGAAAAAUAUGUUGGACAUUAAAUUAAUAAAUUUUUUUUCAGAGAAAAUGGAUUGAGAUAGUUUCUCCAAUUGUUCGCCUUUAAAAGAAUAAUUGGGUUUUAUGUUUGUUCAAAAUUAAUACAUAUAUGAAUUUUGUAAAUAAUCAAAGAGCAAUUUGGUGGCAAAAUGACAAAAGAUUGACUAGAUAUAGUGAAGGGUUCUUCUCUAUAUGUAAAGUUGGGAAAAGUUGAGCUAAACCAAAUAUGGGCACACCUUCAUACGGGUUAGAAGUUUCUAUCUCAUGGGGUGUCAUUGCACAUUUUUUUUUUAUAAAAAACUUUAAUCUAAAAAAUAUCUCAAAUUCAUAUGAAUUUGGUAUAUUAAUUGAUGAUAUUAAUAUUCUAAAAUCAAAAUUUUUGGGUUCAGUCAAUUUAUGAAUUUUUAUAAUAAAAAUCCCAUAUGUAUUAUGAGGAUAUUGGCUGAUUAAAAAAGGUUGUGGCCGCCGAUUUAAUGAAUAAAUAAAUAUCUUUUUUUAUGGCUUUAUAUUUAUUUGCUGGGCCAAAGGAAGAUAAAAGGAAGGGAGUGUUCGGGAAGAAUGGUCAAAAAAAACAAAGAGCCGCCACGUAAUCUCAGACCUCAAGCAAACCCAACAGAUAUUUUCCAUUCCCAUACAAAAUAUCUGAACCUCUUCCCCCCCACCACCACCCUGCGUCUUCACGUGGGACCCGCGCGUCCCCAUUCCACGUGUAAAGCGAUUACUCUUUUCUCUCCAACAUCACUCCCUCCCUCCCCCAUUUCCUCUCUCUCCCUCCCAGAGUUUACUCCUCUCUGAGUUCGAUUCUUACUUCCGGGGUUUAUGGUAUGCAAAUCGUUUGGAUUAGUCUUCCAGUGAAAAUAUGCUCUUGCGAGUUCGUUAAUAUCUGAGUUUACCGGGGGACGAGUCGCGCGGAUUUUCUCAGCAGGUGGAUCUCAGACCUCGAGCAUGGUACUGUCUCUACUCGCUAUUGAUUCUACGUUUUACCUUCCGCAUGAUUAUAUACCUAAUCACCGCAAUUUGUUUUUUCCUCUGCACCUUCUUUUUCUCGAGUCUGAAGACUGAAAAACAAGUAUGUCGUGUGAAAUUGACCUGUGAAGCCAUAAACUGCAAACAUUUAUAUGUUUCUUCUGUAAGCUACGAUGGUAGGUUCUCUACUUUAUGGCUAUCAGACUUGAUUUCCAUGGAGGAAUAAUUCUGAAUGAAGAAAAUUUGGGGUUAAUUGGUAUAUUAUCUGAGUUGUUUGCUAUUUGAUUUAUCACUAUAGGCAAAAGAUCUUGUUGCUAGGGUUAUUAGUGACCUCGUAUUAUCAAUGUUAGGUUCUUUGUUUGUUUGUUUGUUUUUUUUUUUCUAAAACUUUUUUUCUGAAUCAAGAACGCAAUGAAUGUAAAUAAAAGUUGUUGGUUGACAAAUUCCGUUUACCAGUUAUUUCUGGAAAAUACCCCCCUUGGUUAUUAGAAUUUCCAGAGUUUCCUGAUGAUGAUUUUAAUGGCAUGCCAGAAUUCUCAGAUUGAAGAAGGUAAGAGUGCAGAAUGGACCAAUGAGAAGCAUAGAUUAUAUCUUGAAUCCAUUGAAACAUCUUUUGUUAAUCGGCUCUAUAAUUCUUCGGAUCUUCUUAGUUGGCGCCAACAAAAAGGGAACUUGUCAAACAUAAAAUCGUCCAGGCAAGCCUGUUGUAAUCCUCGUGUACCCUCUGGCCAGGUUCAAAAUCGACUUCUUAUGUUUCCUGCUUACUUCCUUCUGUAUUGUAUAUAUGUUUUAUAAACAAACAAAAUGUUUAUUCCAUAAUGGAUGCAUUUUUAUUUCUAUAAUGGAUUCCAUGUCAUUACUCCAGUUUAAGGUUCUUCGUCGUGGUUGCUGGCAAAAGGUCAAUUUUGAAAGACCUGGAGUUCAGUUAAACAAGGAAGAUGAAUCCCUUGGGUUUCUGGCAAGUCCUUGGAUUAGGCAUUUUAGUCCUGUGUACAAGCCCCAGGUUUUAGCACCAGCAAGUCUCCAAGGAAGUUCUGCAUUGAAAAGCCAAGCAAUUGCUUCAACUGCGAGGAAAGACGUGCCCUACAACCCCGAAUCAGCUACUGGUUCAAGGCAGUUUCAUGUGUAUCGCUCCCCCUUACAGGAUCAAGAUUUUAUUGACUCCACCGAAGGUAAUGUUUGCUGAUAGACCCUAUACUUUUCAUUACCACCUUCAUGAUGUAUUGCUCCUGUAGACAUGCUUGCUGAAGCCUAAGCUAUCAAUUUUGAAAAGCAAUGAGUAUUACUUAUGCUAGUUUGUCCCAGUAGAUGUGUUGGAUUAAUACUCUGGUGCCACUAUGAGGAUCAGAAAGUAUUUACCUGGGGAGUGUGGUAGAUCAUAAUCAGAAAUGGUCCAAUAUCUAAUCAGUCAGCGAGCAAUAAGAUUAUUGACUUAUCUUGGAUUGUUUACCAGUUCAUAUUUGAAGCGCGUCACUUUGUUUUUUCCAAAUCCAAUUUAUGUUCUAAGGUAGUUUAUGGAUUUUAAGUAAUAAUGCUGAAAAAUAAAAAAUUUUCAGAUAAUGAGUGCAAGAUAUUUUUGUAUUUACAACUUGAACUAUUGAAGGAUUGACAAAUUCAUUAUUUUAUAUAUCAUGUACUGUAGCUAACAAUGCCUGUAGUUAUUCUUCUUAGAAAGCAAUGAUUUAUUUAUUUAUUUUGAGAUAAAAGAGAAAGAAUAUUAUUAUACACAAAAGUAUUAAGGGAGUACCACCCGAAAACACAAAAUUACAAGUCCAUUAGGUAGUCCAUAACAACUCCAAUAUCUUCCCAUUCUAAUAUGUCACGACUUAACAAAAUAGAAUUAAAAGUAUGAAAUCAUCUAUCCCUAAUAUUUACAAUGUCUGUUUCAAUACCUUCAAAAGCCCUAACAUAUUUCUCCCUCCAAACUACCCACAUAAUAGAAAUCGGAAUAAGGAAUAAUUCUUUUUUCUUUUUACAUAAACCAACCCACACCCACAACUAUUCACUAACACUCCCCGCCAUGGCUCAAUUCAUCCCCAUAAUCCCAUACACAUACUCCCAAAUUCUGUACACCAUAGGACAUUGAAGUAACAAGUGGUUGCAAGAUUCUUCAUCGACCUUGCACAUGUAACACCUAUUAACCAUCAUCAUACCUCUUCUUCUCAACAUAUCAAUGGUCAAUAUUUUUUCUUUAACAGCAUCCCAAAUGAAAAAAAGCCAUUCUAGGUGGAGCUUUUGACCUCCAGAUUUGCUUAAACGGUGCUGCCAUAAAAUUAUUCUCACCAUUUUUUACAAUAAAAUUGUAUUAGGACUUCACAGAAAAGUCUCUUUUCUUGUCCGGUUUCCAUAUUCUUUUGUCCUUCAGAUUUCCCACCUUAAAAUCAGCAAGACAACGAAGCAGAUUACAUUAUUCAACCUCUUCGUCAUCCUUCAAAUUUCUCCUGACUCCCCCCAAACUCCCCUCUCGAACACCUUCUCCACAAGGAUAUCCCUCUCCCUAGCGAUCUCAAAGAUCCUCGGGAACUUGUCUUUCAAUUUGAAGUCACCAGCCCACUCAUCCUUCCAUAAAUUAAUUUCAGUUCCAUUACCCAGCUGCCAGCAUAUGCCAUCAUAAAAAUUCUUGCUGUCAAUGUUAAUUUUCUUCCACAAACGUUUUAAAUGGAAUGUUUUAAGAAAGCAACGUUUUAGUUCGUAAAAUUGAUUUGUUUAUGUUUAUCUUAAAAUGUAUUCUGAUUAAAUGGAAUGUCUGAGUCUUGAAGGUUGAAAAAGUGAGAAUAUAGUUUAUACAUGUCUCUAAGUGAAGCAGGAAAUUAUUGUUAGAUUACAUCAUAAUCUUGAUAGCUAUUAGGAGAGGAAUAAAAGGAGAAUAGGGGUGAGGAGAAGAUACUCUAAUCUUUCCCUUCAUUCCUUGUCCAAAAACUUGGAGAACCUUCAUCACCUUCUCUCCAAUGUAGACUUAAUUCGCUACUGAAUGGUUCUCUUUUCAUGGCCUAAGAGAUAUAAUGCAUGGCAUAAUAUUAUACUCAGCAACUGUUUGCUCAUGAAUGCUUUGGAAUACAAUCUUUCUCUGUCUUAGGUUAGUUUUCUUUUUCCAUUUUGGGUCUUGAUGGUGAUGAUGGACAUGUUUUAUAUGCCAGCAGAGGUGUCAGACCAGAAUUUUGUUGAUGAAGAAAUUAGAGGCGAGAAUGCAAGCGGUAUCUGCAGCUCCGAGAAAGACAAGAAUGUUGACAACUAAUUUUCCAAGUGAUUAUCUAGCAAUAUGUCUCUUUAUUUCAUUGUUAAUCAGUUGCCAGAAUCGGAAUAGCUUCAACAAUCUUAUCUAGCUGUCUAAAUGUUAUGCAUUUCUCGUUUUUUCUAGGCCUUCUUAAGCCUCUGGUAACAUGAACAUUUACUUCUCUGGGACUCUGUUAGAAGGUAAGUUACUUGCAUGUGGGGAAUUUAAAUGGUGUAUGAAGUGAUGAAAGAUUUAACGAGGAAGCUGUAUGUAUUAAAAAAAUAGGGGAAGACUUCUGUUACCGAGUUUUGUCUUCAUACUGCCUUUUCCUUUCAUAUUUAAUCUUGUCGCAGCCAUGGGUGCAUCAAUAUUACAAGGUUGGAUGGGCAAUAGCUAGUUGUCUACUGCCUUUGUGGUGUAAUAAGCUUGUCCAGAAUUAUUAGUUUUACUUCUGUUGCUCAUAUGGACAUGGUGGUCAAAAAUACACUAAAAACCUCUGUUUUAGCAGCAAAGUCAACUCUUGAAAAAUAUAUGGCCAAGUCAUUAAUCAUUCAGAUGAUCCUAAAACAUCUGCUAAGCCUUUAAAUUUGCCUGCGAUGAUGAUGACGAUUAUUAUUUUAAAUCAUAGCCCAAGACGAGCUAUUUCUACUUCGCUAAGGGAUUCAUUCAUACGAGGAAAAAGCCCACGCGAUGUUGCGAUAUAAAUUAUUAUUAUUAUUUAUUAUUUUUAGUUUGAUAUUUGAACAUAAUAUCUUAUAAAAUUAUACUUAGACAUUUAGAAUUUGAUUGGAAGAUUUGCAUAAUAGUUCAUUAAUGUUGGGUAUUAUAUGAUAGGUGUAAAGUUCAUUAAUGUUUAAAUUUAAUAAUGUUUGGAUGAUAGUUUAUUAUUAAUAUUUGAUAGUAAUAAUUGUUUUUAUUUGAAUUGACAGUAUGAUAUGAUUGUAUAUUUGAAUAAAUUAUUUAUUUUGUAUCUAUUUUAUUGUAUAUAAUAAUAAAUAAAAAAUAAAAAAUAUAUAGUGUUAAAUAUAUAGAUAUAUAAUUAUAUAUAUAUAUAUACACACACAAUAAAAUAAGAAGAAGAAGCGAUUUUUUUUGAAUUAGAAGAAAAAGAAGAGUAAAAAAUGUCAGGUAGAAUAAUUUAAAAUAAAAGAAAAUUUUGUAAAUAAUAAAAAAAAUAUAAAACCAUCUUAAAAUCAUUUUAAAAAAUAAAAAGAAUUAUAUUUUUAAAAACCACAACUCAACCAACAAAAAAUUAUAUUAUGCGAUUAAAAAUACAAACAAAUAAAAUUAUAAAAAAAUCAUGAUAAAAGAGAAAUACAAAGGUAUUUUGUAUAUUCAAAGGUAUUUUGAAUCUUACUAUUCAAUUUAUAAAAUCUAAAUUACACCUACCUCUAUUAUGCACCAAACCCAAUUAGGGUGACUACAAACUAAACACUUACAAGUACUUAUUAUAUAUAUAUAUAUAUAUGUUUGAGUUAUAAAAAAAAAAGUGGAGGUGUAUUUGCAUGGAAUUAAAAAACCAUCGACCUAAAAUGUUGAUAUCCAUCAAUUCAAAUUGCAAAGAGGUGGGAACCGAGUGUGUAGUGUUAAUGGGAAAAGUGGUGGAUUCAUGGGUGAUACGAUGGGGCAACCCCAAGUAUCUUGGGGAGAUUUUGUUGUCACGUGGACAUUUCAGAAUGUCAAGUCAGCAUCAGCCACGUGUCCACCAACCCAAUAGUGGAGGAUCGACACGUGCCAGUACCAAAGUGAAGGGGAGGGGACCCUUCGCUAUUUUUAUAUAUGUACAUAUAUGUAAUACAGAGAGAAAGAGAGAAACAGUGAGUGCAGACAUGAACAUUACGAGGCAUACACGUAUGGACGCAUAUAUACAUAUAUAUAUAUAUAUAUGUAUGUAUACACAGCAGUUAAAGGAUGCGGUCAAAAUCUAUUCAUUCAGAAAUCAUAUAUAUAUAUAUAUGUAUGUAUGUAUGUAUGUAUGUAUAUGGGUGCAUGAUUGCAGCAUUUGUGGAGAUAGUUAUAUUCUACUAUAACCAUCAUGACAUUAGAAUGAUCAUGUUCGAUGAGUGGAGAUUGAGCUUUGAUCCAUGCACCAAUUCUCUUAUUAUUAUUAUUUUUUAAUUAUGUUUAUUAUAUGCAAUUUAUAAUUUAAUUUGGCUAUAAUCUCUCCAUACAAAAAAUUAACAUUAAUAACUUAAAUGGUAGUUUAAUAAUUAUAUCAGAUUUAUAGUAAUAAUUUAAUACAUUACGAGUUUUAACUUGGUAUUUCUCUAAUUACUUGGGUGAAGAAUCUAUUUUAUUCUCAUAUAUGAAGCUUAAUUCAUCAAACCUAAAUAUAUAAAUCAACACAUUCUCUUUUGUAUGUAUAUGUAUUAAUAUUUGAUUAAGCAAGUAUUGAUACAAAAAAAUUGACUUCAUAUUAGAUUUGUAAACGUGGGUAUCUAUCUUAGUGGCUCUUAUGAUAUAUUAGGUAUGCAAUUGAUCAAUCUCGUAUCUCACUUCUGGUCUAUUUCUUCAUAACAAGCAAAACCCUUCGUUUUUUUUUUUAGUGUAAAUAUUCAUCAGUACAUUAAAAAUAAGUAACUAAAUUAGAAAUUGAAUAAGNNNNNNNNNNNNNNNNNNNNNNNNNNNNNNNNNNNNNNNNNNNNNNNNNNNNNNNNNGAUUAAAUUUAUAUCAAGAAAAGUUAUUUACUAUUGUAAUACCCUAAUUAAUUUUAAUUGUAAUUAAAAUUAAUGAAUAAAUAUAAUUUUUUAAUUUUUAUUGAAUGUAAAAAUAAAGAAAAUUAAAUGGAAGAUGAAAUUGAAGAUAAUUCUUAAAAAAAUGGGUAAAAAUUUAUGUUAUGUGGGUAUUUUAAAAGAAAAUUCAGAAAUUAGUGGUCAAAACGUAAUUUAAGAAAAUUAUGCAACGUAGAACGCCCAGUCAGCAACCCCAACAAACCGGAGUGCGCAGUGUGGCAAGAAACGAUGACGCAGUGUCACGCGGGAGGCCACGCUGGCGAUCUGCGUGUCCGCGAUCCGACGGUCCAGAUUCGUUCCCGUACGCACGGACGGUCCAGAUCCGUUCUCUCAUCAGAUGUGAUCGGAUGACCAAGAUUAAAUGCAAUGAACGGUUCAGAUCAACUUUCUAUUUAAACAUGAUCGGACGGUGCAGAUCAAAUCGUGAUAGACGGUCCAGAUUCACUCCCUAUUUAAUUGCAAUUGAACGGUCCAGAUGAAACGCGAUGGACGAUCAAGAUUAAAAGAGGACGAAUAUAAAUAACCCUCUUGACACCAAACCCUAACCCUAGUCGCCAGACACCCCCGUCGUAAAAGAAGAGCCAGCCACCGGGAAGGAAGCCGCCCGCCGUCCAUCGCCGUGCCAGAGCCACUUCCGAUUGCCAAAAGAGGUAAAAAAAAUUUCAUUGCUCGAAAUUUGAUUUUAAACACCCUCAUGGUCAAAUCGGAGUAAAAAGACUUAUGGAUUAGCUGAAAAUCACGGGUAAAGUCCGGCGGCACCGUCGCAGAAAAUUGCAAAAACAGCAUCUAAUGAGGCCCUUUUCGAUUUUCGUUCUACGUAAUUCUUCCACCAUUGUAUCACCGUUUCCUUCUCUACAGGUUGACUGAAACAAAACACUUAACUGCAAAAGUGAACCAGCGGAAUCGCCACAUCGGAGAACUCCGCCACCAGUAAGUUUCAGUUUUUUGACUUUUUUCAGUCAACCGAGACCUCUUAACGUAUUUUCUCGUAGGGUGGUCGAAUUCGGCCGAAAACGACCUACUCAAGGUAAACCGCAGGUGUGGGCGACGGUGUCGUCGCCGGAGCACGGCGGAGCCGUCGUGCCGGAAUUCUGGAAUUGGCCAAAAAGAGUUCCUAACACUGAAUUUGGAUUUUUUUGAGAUAUUUAUAGGUACUUGAAGCGCGUUUUAAUCUCCGAAGAAAAAUUCAGGGAACCCGAGGACUGCCAGUAGGCGUAGUCAAAAGUUUAGCAUUUCGGACAUCAAUUUGAGUGAGAAUCCCUCACCAUAUUUCCUGUUAUAGAAUUGAAGUUUAAUUUUAAAUAAUAUAGUAUUUUAUAAAAAUUUAGAAAAUAUUCAUAAUUAAUUACAUAUUAUUAAUGAAUGAGGAAUCAGUUAUUUACUAUUGUUUGCUAUGAUUAAUCGAUUACCUGACUGUACCGGCCCCAGAAAUUCAAAAACGAAAUACAUAUAAUAAUCUGAGUGCGAAAGCGAAAUAAAAGAUUAAGGUUAAUAUCCCUUACACAAUAACUUAAAAGUACUAAAUAACAUCACAGAAUAAGUUCUCUAAAAGAAAUAUGAGAAAUGAAAAAAAUAAAGGAAAUUAUGAAGUAUCUAGCAUCUACUCGCCGUCUUCUUGUGGAUCAGGCUCGGGAACUAGGUCCUCCUGAUAUGAAAUGGUUAAAUAAGGAAUGAAGUACACUAACCCAGUAAGAACAUCAUACUAUAUUACCGUCACAGAAGUAAAGGUUGGUAGAAAACCGAAAAUAACCAAUGGAGCAUAAAUUUUAAACCAAUACAGUUAUUUAAAAUAAAAACACUUACCUUUUUUCUUACCAUCGGAGAACCUGUGAAAACAACCUAUAAAGACAAUAACAUCAUACAGAUCACAAUCUCAUGUAUAAUCAGUAACAUAAAAUACAUUAUAAACCCGUAUUCAUUAACAAUAACUGACUAUCACCAUUUCUCAUUUUUCACCAGCUUACUAGUAUCCAUGGGGAUCCAUAGGGGGUCCUCACUACACGUGAACUAUUCCCUUUAAACAAUCUUAAUUCUAGGGUCAUCCCCAUACCCCGUCCGGUAUGAGCACCAAAACAAUAAACCUCAAUACCCCGCCGGUAUGAGGGUGAAGCGGGUCGUCCCUAUACAUUGUCCGGUAUGAGCACCAAAUGACUAAGUCUCCAUACCCCGUCCGGUAUGAGACAACGUUUACGGUAGGGUUCCCUAUGAACCUAGUACGUCCACCAUCUUCCAAGAUAUCUAGUGAGACUGUCAUCUUAUCCAUUUAUCAAAUCACAUCCCAUUCCUAUUUGUCAUUAGUCUCCGUUACCAACUCAAACAUAAAUAUAUAAACAAGUAACGUGAAUUCAACAAAACAAGCAUAUCUUAGAUUCCCAAAAUCAAACAGUAGUGAAGUAAGCAGUGAUUCAUGCAUUUAAAACCAUAGAAUAGAUAAACCAAAUACUAUAAUACAUUUAAAUUGUAAAAUAAAUCAAACAGGAAUCGACAGAGAAUAAUGUUCGAUUUCGGGCUCCAUUAACAACCUUAAUUAAUUAUGCAUAUAUAUUAAUUACACAAAAUACAGUAUUACUAUUUAUUUGAACUUUAAUUCCAUGAUAGGAAAUAGAGUGAGGGGUCCUUACUUGAUUUGACGCCGAAAACUAGAUUUUCAUUGCGCCUAUGGGCGGUUCCUGGGUUCCCUGAAUUUUUUUCAGGAACUGAAACGUGCUUACGAUACCUACACAUGUCCCAAAUAACCUUAAAAUCAGACCCAUGGCCUACUUGGCCAAUUUUGGAAUUCUAUCCGGCGACGGUGAUCUGCUUUGGGUUGGCUGUUUUCGGCCGAAUUCAGCUAAACUUACAUCGGUUCCUAUGAGAAAACACACUUAGGGCUCUCGGUGGGCCAAAAAAAUAUAAAAAAUCGAAACUUACCAGCGGUGGGGCUCUCCGGUGCGGCGGCUCCUCCGGCUCACGUCGCGGUUGAGUGUUUUGCUAUGGUCAACUUGUAGAGGAGGAAACGGUGAAAAAAAUCACAUUGAACGGAAAUCGGAAAUGGCCUCAUCGGAGGUAAAAAUUGAGAGACCAUGCUGCAGCGUCGCUGAGCUUCGACGGCAUUUUUUGACCAACUAGCCGGUCUUUUCGCUCUGAUUUGGCUAUAGGUGGGUUUAGAAUCAAAUUUUGAGCAAAGAGUGGAAUUUUUACCUCGUUUAGUGCCCGAAAAUUGCUCCGGUACCCAAAUUUUCACUCAUUUCCUCCAAAAUUAUUUUCAAUUAAAUUUCUAAAUAAUUUUUACCUAUUUAUUAUUAUUAUUAUUAUUUUCAUUAAAAUAAAUUAAAUUCUAUUAAUACUAAAUUAUAUUUAUAUAGAAUAAAUUAAAUUAAAAUAAAAUAAGAUAAUAUAAUAAUAAUAAAAAUGAAAAGAAAUUUUUGGGUGUUACAACCUGAUUUUACAGUUUUCGAAUGCAUGAUAAUACACUGAAAUUGGUAUAAUGAUUCGAUUGUAUUCAUUUGAUGCAUGUUUUGCUUAUUUUAUAUGAUUACAGUUGAAUUGGAAAACUUAAAAUUAAAGAUAAAUAGAAAAUUAUUUGAUUAAGUGGAUGGAUGAAACGUCAGCUUUACUGGAUAUCCUGGGAGAUGGUGGACGGAUCGGAUACAUAGAAAAUUCUACCGUGAAUGUUACCUCAUACCAGACGGGGUAUCGAGGUUUGAUAAUUUGGUGUUCAUACCAGUUGAGGUAUGAGGACGACCCUUUUCACCCUCAUACUGGAUAGGUGUAUCGAGAUUUGGUAAUUUGGCGCCCAUAUCGGACGAGGUAUGGGGGAUGACCUGUUAAUUGAAAAUGUUAAAGGAAAAAGUUUACGUAUAGUGAGGACAUCCUUAUGGACUCCCAUGAAUACUAGUAGGAUGAUAAAAGAGAAAAUUAUUGUUCCACCAAUUGCAAAUAAAAUUAUGAUAUGUGUUAUAUUAUUGACUUUAUAGAUUGUUUUUGUAAAGCUCGCUACGGUAAGUAGGCGGUAAAUGAUUUUGUUUAAUUAAGAGUUUCAUUAGUUAUUUUUAUGAUUUAUACUAACUUUCAUUUCUGUGUCGGCGAGUAGCGUGAUAUUCUCACUGGGCUAGUAUAGCUCACUCUUUCAUUAACCAUUUCAGAUUAAGAGAACCAUGAUGCAGAGCCCGAUUCACAAGAGGGUUGCGAGUAUGACGUUCAGUUUAUUCAUUUUUAAUUUAUUUUUUUGGUUAUUAAUUGUUCUUUUAGAAUGGUUAUUCCCGUAAGUCCCAUUUGAUACUUUCAUUUAUUGUGUAAGUAAUGUAAACCCUAAUUAUUUAUUUUGCUUACGUACUAAAUUUAUUAUUUUUCUGUUUUAGAAUUCUGGGAUCGUUAUAACUAUAAUAUAUAAAAAAAAAGAUGAGUUUUUACAAUUAAAAAAAAGGGAUAAAAAAAUAGUAAUAUUUGGAAUGCUUAUAAAAUAAUUCAAACUUAAAAUUUGGGAAAAUAUGUGUAUACUCACAUAUUUAUAAACAGCUGAAUUCUAAAGUAAUGAAAAUAUCUUUUUCUUUUUUGGUACAUGUGAAGGAACAUGGUAUCACAUUUAUAAAACAUGAUAAAUGAAGAUACAAAAAUAUCAUAUCUUUAUUCUUCUAAAUAAAAAAAAAGUCAAAAUGACACGACACAUUAUUUGAAUUUAAAAUAAUAAUAAUAAUAAUAAUUAUUCUAUAUUUAUCCAAAACCAAAUAAUGUUCUUUAAGCUUGCUUAAAUUACAUGCACUUAAAUUGAAGCUUUAGGUCCCCCUAAUUAUUGGAGUUUUCAUUUUUAAGAUUCUUUUUUUUUUUUUCUUUUUUCUUGAGGAAAUCAUUUUUAAGAUUCUUACAAAAAUUAGGUCAAAGAGGGUAGCCAAUAACUGAAAAAGCUCAAAGCUACUUUCUACUCCUACCACCUACAAAAUUAUUAUUAUUUCUUAUAAAAAAAAAAACCUAAAAUAAACUAAAUUUAACUAGAAUUAUAUAAUGUUUAAAAGGAAUUUAAUAUAUAUAGAAUUUAAACAAAAUUCUAAAUUAGGUGGCAUUUAUUUUAAUAUACUAGAAAUACCCAUCUUAUUUCAAAUAUAAUUUUAAUUUUGGUUGAGUUGAAAUUCGAGAAUUGAUAUGUAUAUGUAUAUGUAUAUAUAUAUAUAUAUAUGUAUUGGUUUUGAUAUUUUUGUGAUAAAUUUGAUUCAUUGUGGCUAGCUAGGGCGGCACACAAUCUACCUUAGAGGAUUUGGGUUCAAUGCUUUUAUCUUCUCCACCACAAAACAAAUUAAAAAGUUACUUCUUUUGGGAAUCUACAUUUCUCAUACGUUCCCUUUACUUUCUUUUCUUUUCUUUUGGGGUCCACACUAUAUAUUAUAUAUAUAUAUAUAUAUUAUAUUAUAUUAUAUGUAUACGUACUAAGUCUUACUAACAAAAGUAAUUAGAACAGUAAUACAAAUAAAGUGUGAUUGAUAACGAUACCUAGAAAGAAAUGAAAUUAAUUUAUAUUCAUUUGUUUGUUAAUUUACUCUUUUAAAAACUUAUAAUCAAUCAUCGUUUAAUUAAAUAAUUAAUAUAUUUAUUAAAAAAAUGAUAUAUUAUUACAGAUAAAAUAAUACAUCUUUUUUUUUUAUUUUAAUAAAAAGUUAUAAAUUCAAAUCUGAUCGUAUUUUAUUUUUAUUAAUUUUUUUAAAUAAAUUUAUUAAUCUAAAAAACAAAAAUAAAUAAAUAUAUAUAUAUAUAUAUAAAUAGAUUAGAAAAGUCAAAUAGAAAAUUGUAGUUGCUUAUUAUGUAGUGAAUAAAAAUUAAUUUGUAGAUCACCAACUCUAAAUCCCUACACUUUCAACUCAAUAUGUAUAUUUCAGCCUCCAACUUUCUGGAAAUCAUUAAUUCAUCAUUCGUUGUAUAACUUCAAACUAAGAUGCACAAAAAGAUCAUUAGAUUUGUCAAUUUUAAUAUUUUCUAAAAAUGGUAAAUUAGUUUUUCUUUUUCUAUUCCUAAUUUUUUUUUUUAACAUACCCACUAAAGAUAAUUCAAUAAAAAGAAAUUUUAUUAGAUAAAAAAAAAAUUGUAGCAAUUUAGUAAUAUACAUUAAUACAUAAAGCUUUUAUUAUGUAGAUGAAAAGACAUCAUAUUAAAAAAAAAAAAAAAAAUUCAAAAUAAUUCAACACGUGAAUAUCUUAGAAUAUUAAUUUGUUAUUAUAAUAAUUGUUAAUGUGAAGAAGCAAUGGGCCCGGGAAGCUUCUGGAGGCCCGUGAGUGUUUCUAAUAAAAUUACGGAAAUGUCUUUAUAAAUUUAAAAAAAUUUAUCUGUAAUAAAAUAUUUUAACAUUUUAUUUAAAAGUUUUUAAAUUAAAAUUUUAUUAAGCAUGUAAAACUGAUUAUUUUUAACAUAAAUGGCCAACAAGAGUUAAUUCAUAUAUAUAUAUAUAUAUUUGUUUUAAUUACUUUUAAUUCGUGUUAAAGAAAUAUUAUUGUUAUAAUAAAACAUUUUCUGCAGUAAAAAAAAAAUAAAAAAUUCUAGCGAAUAUAUAUAUAUAUGUAUAUAAAAUACUAGGGAAUAAACUAAUUAAAAAUACUCAAGAUUUUUUUAAAAUAAAUAUUAAUGUUGUAGAAAAUGGAAUUUGGGUGAAUCCUUGAAGGUAGUAUCUGCAAUAUGUGUGUAUCUAUCGUCGUUGGGCAUGUUCGUCUAUAUAUAAGUCAACCCCUCUUCGCUCUUGUACCAAAUCAUUUUACUAUAACGACUACUGAAACCUAAAGUCUGACACAUGGAGGAAAUCAAAGAGGGAGAGAUGAACACAGCUCUGGUGUACCUUAUCAUCAUCAUCAUCAUCAUCAUCAUCUUCUCCUCUCUACUGUUAAUCAAAAAGCUUGUUAAAACACACAGAGGCCAUGCAGUAGCCAAGCUUCCUCCAGGCUCAAUGGGAUGGCCUUAUCUUGGAGAAACCCUUCAACUCUACUCUCAGCACCCAAAUCUCUUCUUUACCACCAAACAUAAAAGGUAAACACAUAUCUGUCAUGUAUGUACUAACGUUAAUAUGCGUGCAUGAAAUAUGAAAGGCAUGUGGGUUGGUGUAGGUAUGGGGAGAUUUUCAAGACAAACAUUCUGGGUUACCCUUGUGUGAUGCUGGGUAGUCCAGACGCAGCUCGAUUUGUGUUGGUGACUCAUGCUCACUUGUUCAAGCCAACGUACCCGAAGAGCAAAGAGCGGCUCAUUGGUCCUUCAGCUUUGUUUUUUCACCAGGGACAUUACCAUAUGCGCCUUAGAAAAUUGAUUCAUUCAUCUUUUUCCCUCCACCAUAUCAAAAACUUCGUUCCAACCAUUGAUGCUCUUGCAGUUUCGAUUCUUCAUUCAUGGGAUGCUGCUCCUAUCAUCAACACUUUCCAUGAAAUGAAAAAGGUCCCUCUACUUUUACUAAUAUAAGUAAUAUUUUAUGUUUAUAUGUAUGCAAGUAUUGAUGGGUGACUUGAAUUUUGUUCAGUUCUCUUUUGAAGUAGGGAUAGCAGCAAUUUUUGGACAUUUAGAUAUUGGUUACAGAGAAGAGCUGAAGAAAAAUUAUCGUAUAUUGGAUAAAGGUUACAACUGCUUUCCUACAAAUAUUCCAGGAACUCCCUUCAAAAGGGCAUUAAUGGUAAGUCACAAGCAAUCCCAUUUGAAAUUACUUUUGUCUAUUCUUAAUACUUAAUCCUGUUUUACUACAGGCAAGGAAGAGAUUAAACAAGAUUCUGAGUGAGAUUAUCAAGGAGAGGAAGGAGAAGAGGUUGGUAGAAAAAGAUGUUUUGCGGUGUCUUGUAAACUACAAAGAUGAGAAAGGAGAGGUUUUAAGUGAUGAUCAGAUUGCAGAUAACAUUAUUGGAGUCCUUUUCGCAGCUAAGGACACUACAGCAAGUGUCAUGACAUGGAUUGUCAAGUACCUCCAUGAUAACCCUCAACUUCUAGAAGCUGUUAAGGUAAGAAAUUUUUCUCCUUCACUCAAUUAAUUCAUGCGAGAGGAUUGUGUUAAUUCAUUUUAUGUUCAAAUUAUCUUUUGUAGGCCGAGCAGUUGGCGAUUCGAAGAUUCAAUGACGAACAUAAUGAGCCCUUGAGUUGGUCACAAACUAGGAACAUGCCAAUCACUCACAAGGUAAUUAAAUCAAACAUAACUUGGCAAAAUCUUUACACCCUUACAUCUUGAUAUAAAUGGCUAACACUGGACUUAUUCAGGUUGUAUUGGAGACUUUGAGAAUAGCUAGUAUCAUAUCCUUCACUUUCAGAGAAGCAGUGACUGAUGUAGAAUACAAAGGUAAGAGAGGGAAAUCAACAAUAAAACUUCAUUUUUUAUCCCCAAUUUGUAAAUGUUAAUAAAGAUUGGGUUACAGGGUACUUAAUUCCAAAAGGGUGGAAGGUGAUGCCUAUAUUCAGAAACAUUCAUCAUAAUCCAGAUUUUUUUCCAGACCCUGAAAAAUUUGACCCCUGGAGAUUUGAGGUAUGAGUUAAUCAAUGCUCUUAUUGGUUCUGUGGUUUACUUCUCUGAUAUUUUUCUUUAGAGUGAUGAUGCCCUGUAGAUGUCUCUGUUUCAAACCCAGAAUAAGCUCUUUUCUGGUAUUAAAUGUGGGAUUUUAUGGGUAAUGUAGGUCGCACCAAAACCCUAUACAUUCAUGCCAUUUGGGAGUGGAGUUCAUUCUUGUCCAGGAAAUGAACUUGCCAAGCUGGAGAUGCUUAUAAUAACCCAUCACUUGGUUUCCAACUUCAGGUAUCGCUAAAAAAUACAUGUAAGAAACAUAUGAAGAUGAAUCAAAAUAGUAAAACAAGAUUAUUAAGCAGAGACUACUUACAAGAAACAGAUAUGCUUAAUAAUUUUUUCCUUUUUUCUUGAGAAAUAAAGAGGGGGAAAAUGAGAGAGUAAAUAAGUGGUGGAGGUAGAGAAGAAUUUGAUGAUGAGAGGUAUAAAAACAUGCAAGUGUUGACAAGAAUGUUUUGUUUGUUAUUGCAGGUGGAAACUUAUAGGAUCUGAAGGUGGGAUUCAGUAUGGCCCAUUUCCAGUCCCUCUUCAUGGUCUCCCAGCCAGAUUUUGGAAAGAAUCCACAACUCCAAGCUAAAAGGCAGUUUGGGUCGGCGUGAUAGAUGCCGAGCAUCCCCUUAACAAGUUUAAUCUGCCAUUGAUCACUUACCAUUAUUGUUUUUAUUAGCUUUAUCACUGUCAAUUUCUUAAGUGUAGCCCAUCCCCUUCAAAAAGUUGUGGGGGAUGAUCAGAUGCUGCAUUUUCCACCCUUUCUAAUUUUUCUCCUUCAACCCUUCCCUAUCUCACCUUUGCAACCAGAGGUUCUUGUACUAUUUAAAUAUCAUAUGAUUGAAUAUAUAUAUAUAUAUAUAUAUAUAUAUAUAUGGGAGCAACCCAUAAGAUAAACCAACAUGUCUUCUUUUAUGUGUUGUUGCAAAACAUCAAGGGCAAGCAAAAUGAAAUUGAGUAACAUCUCCUUAUGAAUGUGAGUUAUCAACUGUGAAUCUUUUGUUUAUGCAUGCUAGUCUUUUUGAGCUGAAAGAGUAAAACAUGCCAUGCCAGGAUUGUCCCGAUUCAAAAGGCUGGAUAACUUCAAUCUUUGCUGUCUUUCUCACUGACCCUACAAAGGUGUGGUUAUUAGAGAUAGGUGGCCCUGAAAGCCACCACAUCAGACAUUUUCAGAGGCUAGAUGCACCUGUUUUUGUCUGUACAGUCUUCGGCUGCAUAUUGCAGCCAGAAUUUUUCAAGCUUUUUGCUCGCUAAACACGCGCAUACACGACCACCAAUUUUCCCUGUUUUCUCCUAAAAUAAUCAAAUUAUGUGAAUUAGACACUUUAAAUAACAAAAGAGUUUUAAUGAGUACCAUAGAAGCAACUUGCCAAUCCCAGAAUCCAGUAUUAUCAGCAUACCUACAAUUGUUGAACAGGCCUUGAUGGUUCAUCCAGGCAAAACCAUAAGAAAAUAUUGACACUAAUCAGGACUUAAUCAUUCUCAUCCAGGUCGUGAAGAAGGUUGUACGCAUGAAUUUCUUGUUGGAUUAUACUGCCAAUGUGGUUGACCUCUCAGAUGUACUGUCUCAUAGAUAAGCCAUUCUUCCAAUCAUCUAAGCUACAGCAGCUUUAGGUGAAUCUUAUUGUUAACCUACAAUUGACCAAAUGCAUAUAUGAAAAUUAUACAAAAAAAAGAAAAAAAGAAAAAAAUUGCAUUUAUCAUAGAGCAAAUAGGACAGUAAUAGAGAAUCCUCUAUGUCCACUUACAGACAAUAUAUCUCUUUCAAGUACACCAUAUAUAUCAUAUAAGGAAAUGUAUAUACUAUAGGGCCUGAUCAUAAUGGCAUCUCAUCCGGGUGCCAUUUUUUUUUUAACUUUAAUACAUAAAAAGCUGAUUAAAAACAUGACCAAGUUAGCUUAAAGCAUCUGGAGAUAUGGAGGAUGCAUAUUUAAGAAUUGCUGCCACAAUCUUCUCUUUGUCUCUGGUUGGGAAUGCUUCCAACAGAACUCCAUUUUUGUAGAAGUGGAAGAGGGGCACCGCCUGCAUUAAUUGACCGUCAAUAUUAUUAUUUUUUCAUCUGAUAGAGCAGAAUUCUAGAAAUUUUUUAUUUUUGAAAAAGAAAUGCUGAUUUGUUGGUCAGCUGCAUCUGCCAAAAUCCUCCCAAUUCAAAACAAGAAGUGGCAUAUCGUAACCACAUGUGGACCCAAAAGAAGACAAAUCAUCUUUAUUCUAUUCAUUGUUUCCUCUUCACAGGUUUAAUUGAAAGAAACCUUUAUGACCAGCUGGAAUCUAGCACAUUUUGUGAGGAAUGAAGAUUAUCUUCUAAAAUGAAAACAAAAGUAAGGAAGGUAAGCUAUCUGGAAAGCUCAUAUUACUAUAAAAAUUCCAAGUGAAUGAACAUAUUUGUACCAUUUUAUAAAACCAACCCAAACAAGUUAUCCGUCAAUUUGCAUUUUUUAACAUUCAUUUUUCUAUUGAGUUUUUAAGAUUCAUUUGGCAUUCAUUCAAUUAAAUGGAACAUAAGCUAUUAAUACUAUAGGAAAUUACCUUAAUUCGAAGUCGUUCAGCAACCUCAGACUGUUCAUCAUACUCAUCAAUUACCUGCAAUAGAGACAAGAUCAAUAAGAAUAUCAUGUAGUGAGGACAUGCUCAGGAAUUAGACUGGUAGGAAUUUCUUCAAAGGAAUCUACCACAGCAAACCAUAAAUCACUACCUUUAUAUCUAACCAUUACUGUCCUCCACCAACUUUUUAUGCUUUAGAACCUUUUUCAUCUUUUUACGUUGAUUGCUAUGCAGUAUGGAAGAGUUCAGUUUAUAGAUUAUUAGCACUCACAUUAUGUUUUAGGAAGAUUACGUCAGCUUCUUGAUCACCAGAUCCCUUGCACAAUUUUGAAAAUCCCUGCUCAAUGUAUUUACAACUUCCACAAGAGGUGCGAUAAAAGUCCACUACAACCAAAGAAUCAGUUACUUUGGCCUUUUCGAGAAUUCUAAGGAAUUCUUCAUCUGUCUUAAAUUCUUUAACGCAAUCUACAGGACAUAGAUCAUCAUCUUCAUCAGCUAAUUCCUCUUGCUCUUGGUAUUCCUCAGCUACUCCUUUGAUUUUUGCAUGUCGAAAUAAAUGGCUAAAUUUUAAAAUUCCAAAACCCGCAGUUUGACUGAUAGAUGGAAUUUUGGCCCUCAUAGAACAACAAUUGACCUGAUCUCUGCUGGGAUGCCAGCUGGGAACCAUAUAAGUUUCCCUAAAAUUAAGUUGUCCACAAAUUUUCCUCUCAAAAUUGAAAGAGGCCUUACUAUAAAGAAUAUUCUCCUUAGGCAUGAUAAUGUACAGCAAAAUCACCAGAGAAAUCUAUAUACCAUGAAAAUGAAAGGAUUUAUAAAAUAAAAUUCGGGUUUCCCACUUCCUUUCUUAUUGUUUCAUUCUAUCAUCGGAUUGUGAUAGACAACACUUUUGUGAUAAACAUACUCAUUAUAUAUCACUCGCUGUUAAAAUGAAAAACAAUAUAAUUAGAAUCUUCCCCUAACAGAAUAUAAAAAAAUCUAUAUCUUCUCCCAAUGAGAAAACAGUAUAACAGCUGUAUGUAAGCACUAAAAGAUUAAUCUACUAUACAGCAUCAAAAAAGUAGAAAUUACAGACUAAAAGUUAGAAGCCAUAGAUAUAUUAUAGUGCUUUCCGUCGGUUAACUGACCCAAAAGUAAAUUCUGCAUUUUUUAGGAGCAUCUUUCAGAAAUAGACAACAGUACCCAACUUUCAUUACUAUCACCAGAGUAACACCACAAAUUAGCAAGAAUGAACACUCUAUCAUCUUAGCCCAGUAAAACAGAAGAAACAGGAGAUGUUUUACUUCGAACAUGUCUACUCCAUGGUAAAACAGAUAAGUACCACCAGAAAAGCCACACUAGCAGAUAUGGGCAGAGAACGUGCAUAUAGAAGAAAAAAGGAAAACCGAGGAAGACUAUAAACUAAACUUAAGUAGCCAAUUGCACUUUAAAAAAUUCUAACAAGGUAGGCUUAUAAGUCACUAUUCCACACUCUUGAAAACAAUAACCUUGCCAGCCAGUUGACAAUCAAUCAACCCAACAAAGUUACAGAAACAUACAAAAGAGUUUUAAAUUACAAUCUAACCGAUCACAAAAACCCAGAACGAAAAUGGAUUGAAUAGAGGCAGAGAAUGAUAAAUUUCUUCUCAGCCAACCAAGUAAUUAAUAAGCUGUUACCUUUAGAACUGAGACAAAGGUUUCUGGCAGAAAAAGCUUCGAGCAAGAAACGGACACGCCAUAUCCAUAUCCGCUCUGCUGUCCAUUCCCUAUCCGGAGGAACAUGCCUAUAGUUCUUCCCUUUUUUUUUUGCCCCCUGCAAUGGGCCAAGUUUGUUGUUGGAUCGGGCUCAGUUUGUCCGUAAAAGUGCUUAAUGUUUUUUUUUUAACAAAAAAAACACCCAGUAAACA
RNAcentral lists this long non-coding RNA (58965 nucleotides) under Carica papaya (papaya). RNAcentral describes it as "long non-coding RNA (CPAP_LNC008773)". Lineage: Eukaryota; Viridiplantae; Streptophyta; Magnoliopsida; Brassicales; Caricaceae. The record is from RNAcentral.